Molecule: long non-coding RNA, 48209 nt
Filed under: Daucus carota (carrot)
Lineage: Eukaryota; Viridiplantae; Streptophyta; Magnoliopsida; Apiales; Apiaceae
Description: long non-coding RNA (DCAR_LNC002601)
Source: RNAcentral
CUGUCCUGCAACAAGUUUCAAGGAGAAAUUCCUGACGUUAUUGGAGAGCUUAGAUGGCUUGCAUUGCUCAACUUAUCUCAUAAUAGUCUGACAGGACCUAUCCCAUCAUUACUGCGAAAUAUGAAAGGACUCCAAUCUUUAGAUUUGUCCUCAAAUCAACUGACAGGGGCUAUUCCACCUCAGAUAACUGCACUGACAUUUCUAGAAGUCUUAAACCUCUCGGGAAACCAUCUUAGUGGAGAGAUUCCUCAGAAAGGACAAUUCAGCACAUUCAACAAUGAUUCUUAUAUAGGAAACUCCGCAUUAUGUGGAUCACCAUUGACGAAGACAUGUGCAAACACAGCAUCACCUCCACAAGAAGUCGGAAAUGUUGAUGAAGAUGAUGCGGGUGAUGAAUUGACAUGGGAAGCAAUCUUGAUGGGAUAUGGAUGUGGACUGAUAUGUGGAUUGUCAUCUGCAUACAUUGUUCUCAAACUAGGAAAGCCUUGGUGGUUUGUGAGAUAUCUCGAAGUACUGCAACAGAAGUUGAUGAAAAGAUAUGCAUGAAGAAUGGUACUGGCCGAUCAAGACCAACUUGAAAGUUUGUUGUCCUUGUGCACAUUUCUGAACCAGUAGUGUACUUGCUGCAUAAGUAUUUGGUAUUAUGUAAUAAUCCGUUUGGUCGGGACUCAUAAUGAUUUCUCUUGCUUCAGGGGUAUUAAUAUUAACCUUGCUAUCUUGAUCAAUGUUAAAGCAAAUUAAAUGAAUGAAAAAACAAAAAGUAUGCAUCAAAUCCGCUCCUGCUGUACCAAAAUCCAUUAAAUUGCUUUGGUCUCUUACCUAACAAUUUAACAGCACACUUCCACACUGUUCAUACCUAAUUUGCGUGUAAUAUGAAAACUAAGAGGCAUGGCUUUUGUCUCUAUAAGUCUUUGAGAACUUAUUCUUCCAAGUCUUCUUCGGAGGCCUGCUGCCUCAACAACCUUUCAAAGAUGUAGCAGUUGCUCGAGAGUAACAUAUAUAUUAGAUAAAGACUAUGCAAUAAUCCACGUGACAGAAAAACCAAAGUCCAAUUAGUUUUCCAAGUUCAUAAAAAAUACUAUAGGAUCAUUAGCAUUACAUUAGUAUUCCACUAGCAUACAGCAUAUUAUAAGACAAAAGUAAGCGGAAAUAAACAUAAUUUCAAUAGAUUUAACUUACUCUUCAGAAUCGAUAAGUUUGGAACACGUUGAUUGAGCACAAGACGAAGGCCACACAUGCGCAUCAUCUGAUGCAGCUAUAUAUGGUGCCUUUACAGUUGCUCAUACAUAUAGUGAAACAAUAAGGAUCAACUCCUCCAUUGUACGUACACAUUUUCAUACAAGCUAUAAAGCAUGGUGAUAGAGUCUUUGCAAUCUCGUCAUGACCGGCACAUCCGAUUAUGAUAAACUCUAGCAGGAUCAUCCAAGUAAUAAUUUUCAUAAUGAUAUUAAUUAUCAUUGUGAAUAGUUGCAUUGAGUUAUAUAUGUGUGUGUAUAUAUAUGCAAUGGAUUUUGUGGUUGAGAAUAUCUAUUAGAUUUUGUAUAUCCAUAACAAUUAUUAAAAUUUAAACAAGAAUAUCUAUUAUUGGUUGUGGUUGACUAUUGUAGUAGUCCAAGAAAUCAAUGCAAGUGAAAUCUAUAUUAUAUUUUAAAAGAUUAUACAUGAAAUACAAAAGGUUUUUUUAGGACUGCUGUUAAAAAUUGUUAUGUUGUACGAAAAAAUGCUGAUAAAAAGAGUGUUAUACGAAAAAAUGCUGAUAAAAAAAAUGUCGUAUAAAUCAGAUAUGACAGCUUCCCACAAAAACUAAAAAAAACAGUUUUCCGUAAUAAUAUGGGAGAGGAAAAACUGUUUGUAGAUUUAUAGAACAAUUUUUCGGUAAAAAACUGUUGUUGUUUUCGAGAGUAAUGACAAACAGUGCCGAAAUCAUUUUGCAGGUAGUUAAUCUCACUUCCAUAUAAUAUACUCCUAUAUAUUACCGAAAAAACAUGAAAUGAUGCAAACCUCAUACUAUUGACAACAGCUAAACUCCUUGCAAUACUUUCAGCUGCAAAAUCCAUCAAAUUUUUUGAUUUAUCAUGUAACUGUUUGACAGAGUACUUCCAAGCCUAAGUAUCAAAAAUCACUACCUUACGAAAUAUAUCUCACCCUACCUUCUCUGCUUAACUGUUUCGAGUGCUUUUACCAAGCAUAUUUUCCAUUAAGCGUGAAAGGCACAGAAUAAUUAGGAUCACCGAAUAUCCCAUCAGUGCUGGGGAAUAUGGAACCAUCUUAUCAAUUAACUAGUUUAACAUUUCUUGCGGUCUUGAACCUCUCAGAAAACCAUCUUAUCCUAAUGUGCCGACUUCCUUUGACGGAGAAAUGGUGAUGCUGAUGCUAAUGAUAAUGAACUCAACUGGGGAGUGAUCCUUAUGGGAUACGGAUGUGGAUUGAUAUGCGGAUUUUCUUUGGGGUUUAUAUUUUGUGGUUUGUGAGAUACAUUGAAGUACUGCAGCUGGAGUUGAUCAUUAUAAAGAACAUAGGCAAGUUAAUCGCUUAUUGAAAUUAGUAAUUGUCAAAAGUAAAAUGUUGAAAUUACUUUUUUCGAUUGAAAUCAUUGAAAAAAAGUCUCUGUCGAAAUUGAUCUGCCAAAAUUAUGUUUAAUAUCUACGGCCAAGAUUAUCUGUCGAAUAUAUUUCCCGACAAUUUUAAAAGACAAAUUUUUCGCCUCUCAGCUGUGAGCGGGAACAGAUAUUUUCGACAGAAUUCCAUUGAAAUUAGCUAAUUUCAACAUAAAUUUUCUAUCGAAAUUACUUGAGUUCUUUGUAGCUUGUUUUCACAAAUACGCUGAUAGCCUUUGGGGACGGGUAUAUUGUUUUCACAAAGCCCUGGUGGUAUGUGAGAUGCUUCGAAGGACUGCAACUGAAGUCGAUAAGAACAUGCAGAAAGAAAACCGAUCCAUCUUGAUAAACUUGAAAAAUGUUGUCAUAUGGUGAUAUAUACUCCCUGGCCCCAGUCUCUUGGAAAGAACUUGGUUGAUUUUUUUUUUUCAGUAUUGUUGGAGCUGUCAUACUAGUGCUAGUGUGCCGACUAGCACUAGUAUGACAGCUCCAACAAGUAUCCAUCCCUAAUAAUUGCAGCAAAUUAAAAAAUAUAGCUAUAUCUUUUUAGCAAUGGUGCAAUUUGGAAAGCUUUCUCAUCAUCUUCUUCUUUUCUUUAUCUCAUUACUCUCAUCUAGUUCCACUGUCCUAUCUGCAACAAUUCGCGAAGGAGAAGCUCUUGUGGAAUGGAAGAACAGCCUAUCCCCGAAUUCAUUUCUUGGUUCUUGGUCACUAAUUAAUCUCACUUAUCUUUGUAAUUAAGUGGACUGGCAUUGUAUGCAACUCUGCAGGUUCAGUCAGUCAGAUUAAUCUUCAAGAACUCACACUUGCUAACCUCCGUUUCUUUUCGUUUCCAAAUCUCACCAAUCUCAACAUUACACAUAACAACUUCACUGGUCCAAUACCACCCGAGACUUUAGCUAUAGUAAUCUCAAUGGUACCCUUCCAUACCAGGUCAGCCAUCUUCAGAGGUCGGUCGUCUUAGGCCUCUAAUUUAAUCACUUGAAAGCUCUAAGCUUGUCCAAUUUUUCCCCCAUGCCUAUACUGGUUGGUCGCGGUCUUGGUGGUAAUAAGCUGGCGUCAAUUUUUCCAGAAUUCAUAUCUAAUUGCUAUAACAUGAUUAACCUUGAUCUUUCAUUUAACAUGUUAACUGGUGAUCCCUUCAACAACUUGCGAAUCUUGGAUCUCUUCGACAAUGAAUUCACUGGUUACUUGCCAAUCCAAUAUUUUAAUAAUAUGAAACCAGUUAAUACCGUGAUUGAUUAUUACAACAUAACAGUGAAUCAUGAUUAUCAAGCAUGUCUUGUUAACAUUUUGCACUCGUAUUAAUUGUCUUAUAUAUGACUAACUCAUCUUGCACUCGUAUUAAUUGUCUUAUAUAAUACUAAUAACAAAAAUAUGAGGCGGUGCUUAGUCAGAUGAUUUUAGUUGUUAAAAUAUUUUUGUGUUAUUUAUAGAUAGUGAAACAUGUCUAAUAUUUUAUCAAUUUUGUUUCGUUUCUUGAGAUUUCCAAAUAUUUAUUGGGACAUUGUACCAUGGUGUAUUUCACAUAUUCGCAAUUUUAAUUAUUUUGUAUUUUUAUUUUAAAGAUAUGAUAAAGUUUAUUUAUUUAUUUGUUUUUAUCUUAAAAGCGAUUUUCGAGUGUUGCUUAAACCUCGAAGAUUCCAAUCGAGUUUUAUUCUCGGAUCUGUUUCGGAAUUGAGCUUGGCCUUGAUUGUUUUCUGAAUAAAUCAGAUCUUUUGAAAUCAAAGGUUCGAUUGUGUUUUCCCGUCUCGCCUUUUGGCGUGUGUUGAUUUAGUACCCAAUUUUUGGGUGAUUCUGCGUUGUUAUAUUUGUGGUUGUUAUGUCUUUCUGUGUUAUCAAUGAGAAUGAUUGGGAUGGAGUUUUGGGAGAUUUGGCUUAUCGCAUCAUUACAUCUUUCGGCAUGUCUAUAGCUGGCUCCCGGCAUGUAGAUAGCUGGGGUAUGCUUGGAACGGUGGCGAUCGCAUGUGCUCACCUGUCACAAAUUAUAGUUGUUCAUUAUUCGAGGGCUCUUGUUCCUCGUUGCUUAGUUUUUACAACUGAGUCGUCUGAACACCGCAACAGCCAUGGAACUAUUGUGAAGGUCAAUUGUGAAGCUAUCAUUUUCGAGAUUGAUGUAGGCUGGAUUACUCGAGAAGCUUUUGUAUUCAUUUUCAGUUUCAAGAAUUCUUGAAUUCAGUGUGUUAAGCAGUCUGGAAACAAUGCGGCUAUUUGAUUAGCUCGUUUUAUUGUUUAUCAACCUGAUUGCAUUGUCAGUUGGGGAUUUGUCCCGAUUAAACUUGUUUUAAUAUAAUGGAAUGAAUUUGCAUUUUGUCAAAAAAAAAAAAAAAAAGCGAUUUUGAGUUGUUUGAGUUAGAUAUAUACUCCUACUGUGGUUCAACUAGUUUUGCCAUAAGUGAAUAACUUCCGGUCAAUAUUUUGAAAUUUGUCGUUAUCUUCUAAUUAAAAUAAAGGGUUAAAUAGCUACUUCAUCAUUAAUAUCGUUGAAAAUUUGCAGCUGAGUCAUGUUGUUGAAAAGACUUUCAAACUGCAUCAUUAAGUAAUUAAAAAAUUUCAAAAACACCACUCUCCGUCAGUUAUGUUAAACAAUUAACGGAAAGUUCGAAAAAAAAUAAAGAAAAGACAAAAAAACAUUAAAAAAAUUUGAAAAAAAAACCCGAAAAAAUGUGAAUAAACUAUGAUAUUUUUUUUCUUUUUUUGAAAAAUGUGAAUAAAAUCAAAAAAUCAAAAAAAAUGGGAAACCAAAAGUGGCAAGCUUUUUUUUUUUUUGUUCCUUUCAAAUUUUCUAAAAUCUGGGGAAAAAAGAACUUGCCAACUAAUUUUUUCCAAAUUUUUUCAAAUUCUUUUCAGAUUUUUGAAUUUUUUUCCAAUUUUUUCCUCACUUUUUUUCUGUUUUUUUUUGAAUUUAUUAAGAUUUUUUUUGUUUUUUCUGCUUAUUCUGAAUUUUUUAAGAUUUAUUCGCAUUUUUAAAAAAUAUUUUUGAAUUAUCCGUUAAGUAAUUAAUGGAACUGACGGAGAGUGAUGCUUUUGAAAGUUUUUAAUUACUUGAUAAUGCGUUUGAAAAUUUUUUCAACAACAUGACUCAGUUGCAAGUUUCCGGCGAGGUUAGUAAUGAAUUAGUUAUUUAACUCUUAAUAAAAAUCUAUCUAAACAAUAUUAUAAAUAUAAUGUUAUGGGUUCGAUGAGUCGUGUAAAACAUGGAAGAAGUUUAGGUGGGGUAAAAAGAGCCUAGCUGUGUGAUUUCCAUUCUGUUAUACGUGAUAUACUGUAGUUGAUCAUCUCCUUUGUCCGCUUCAUCCUGUGCAACCUUAACCUUUAAGGAAAAACUUAUGAGAUUCUCUAGUGCAUCUAAAUUCUUGUGUGAAGAAUGUGAAGAAAAAUGUUAGUCUCAGAUUAUUUUUCCUAAAAUGCUUGCAUGUUACAUUUUAUAUGUAUGUCCUGACUUUAAGUAUAAUUUAGCAUUUUUAUUUAGUAUUGUGUAAAAAUAAUAUAUUUUAUUCAGUCUUAUUAAAAAUAUAAUCAUGUUAUACUGUAAAAGUAUUUGUGAAUUUCUUUGUUACAUAUGUGUUUAAAUUAUUUUAUUUAUAUAUGUUUUACAAUUUUUUACAAAUAUAUAGGUUGAGUAUUGCAUAGGAAUAUAAUUACACGUUAGCAAAUAUGAUUAUGUGUAAACUGUUCUGCGUGCAUGUAUAUUGCUGCUAAGUUUUAAACUUCUUACUAACCGGAAUAAUUUUGACAGAUGUGUGGAACUUGAUUAAUUUAGUUGCACUAUAAGAGAAAGCGUUUUUGUCAAUAAAAAUUGUUAAGGAAAUUAGUCCGUUGGUAGUUCUCAACGGAUUUGUAACAAUUUGACUGGUCAAUGUUCUGUCAACCAAUUCGUAAUGAAAUACCCACACUUAUUUACAACGAGAUGUUCUAUUAGGAAAUAUAGCCACACAAUGGAAUAAUAACAAAAGACCAAGGAAUGAGCAACAGACUAGCAACGAAAGUAUCUGUUAUUACAUUCGUUGAUAUUCCCUUGAUAAAUACUAGACUUUUUAGCACUUUGGUGGCUUGUACUAUUUCAAAUUUGCACGUUAGUGGCCGACCUUUAAAAGUCAUCAAUUGUGUUGCUGAACUUAUUUUUUUUUAACACAUUAGGGGCUCCGCAUCAUAUCCGUUAAAUCGAAGUAACGGCGUCAAAUGAUCAAUACAUAUCUCCUCCUCCUCUUAUUUCCCUCCAAAUUAAAAAACGAAACGGCUACCCUCUUUUCCGAAGCAAGAACGACGACGAAUUCCUGCUUACAGAGAUGAGUUGGUUCCGGCGUCUUAAAGAGGAUGCUGAUGUGUAUUAGCCUCGACAGUGCCCCGAUUACUGUAGUAAGCUCUUCAACUUUUCUUCUUUGUAGCAUAUGAAAUGAGUUUAAUUGACCAUUAUUUCAGUGUUUGUUGUUGUUAGUGGCUAGUUGUUUAGUAUUAUGGACCUGCAAUUGCUUUAUACUAUUAAAAUGAAAGAUUCUGCUUGUGGGUUUUUAAAAAUUAAGGCUUUUACAUAGUCCAAGAUUCGGUCAUUAUAAAAUCAAUUUAUGCCUGUUUUAGUAUAGUGCUUGUUGUUAGUGGCUAUUUGUUAAGUAUAGUGUUGUUUAUUGUAAAUAAAACUGUUGCUUUGCACUCUACAUUUGCAGAACCUGGUGAUUUUACCCUAAAAAUAUAUCAUGGGGCCGAUUGGGUAGAUAACCCUAGGGCAUAUGUGGGAGGUACAGUAGAUUUCUUUGACUUCUGUAAUGCUGAUCAGAUCAGCAUAAUUGAGAUAUAUAGUAUGUUGAAAGAGGUUGAUGAGUUUGGGUUUCACCAACUGUGGUAUAAGCUACCUGGCACUACAUUCGAUAGAGCUUUUGUACUAAAUAAUGAUGAGGAGCUAAUGACCAUGUGUGAGCUUAUAUCUGAUGUGGAUAAGUAUAUGGAGAUUUAUGUCACCACUAUGGCACAUCUAAGUAUAGUGCCCUAUAGAGAUUUAGAGGUUGAAUUUGUUGAACCAACUCCUAAAGAAGCACCUGAAAAGAACAAUCCAUCACCUGAAAAGAUCAAUCCAGCACCUGAAAAGAUCAAUCCAGCACCUGCAAAGAUGUAUCCAGCACCUGCAAAGAGCAUUCCAACUGUGGGAAAUGAUGAUGAUCAGGAAGAGUUUGAGUUUGAUUUUGACAAUACACGGUUUUGGGAUACCACCCAAAAUGAAAUUGAAAUUGUGCAACAAGUUAGGGAAAUGGAGGGGUUGGAAGAGGAAUUUUCAGACACAGAUUCUGAUGAUGAGGAUUUUGUGCCAGAAGAAAAGGAAAGUAGUGAUGAGACCUUCCACUGUGAUAGUUCCAAUCAAGAUAAUUCUGAUGAUGAUUUGUUGUUUGAUGAUGAUUACUACCAUCCUUACCAGCAGAUGGAAACCAACAAAGAAAAAUAUACAACAACAACAACACAGCAAGAAUUUUCCAGUUCCUUGCUUGCUUCUGCGCCUCGGAUAGUUCUUCACUGUAGAAAUCCUUGUACUCAUCUUUGGCCUUAAUCAUUUCAGCAAAACAUUCAUCGUCCUUGUUCUUCAAACGCCUUAUCAGUCCAUUGAUUACACUCUUGCUGCGCGCAUCAAACUCGGGUUCAACCCACUUGAAGAAAUUGCACCUUCCAUUCACGCAAGUCAAGAAUCUUCUACCCGGAUUGUACUCCGUCCACGAUGUCUUCUCCACUGCCCAGCUUCCACACAUACAUUGUUGAUUCAUCUUUGCAGAGCUUUUUGGUUUGGAUGAGAGAUUUAGGUUUGAAUAUGCUCAAUUACACACAGCAGAAACGUAUAUAUAUACACAGCAUAUAGCCGUUGCAAAAAUAUUUUCCUGAAAUACCCCUGACGACCGUUACUUCGAUUUAAUGGAUAUGAUGCGGAGCCCCUAAUGUGUUAAAAAAAAAAUAAGUUCAGCAACACAAUUGAUGACUUUUAAAGGUCGGUCACUAACGUGCAAAUUUGAAAUAAUACAAGCCAUCAAAGUGCCAAAAAGUCUAAAUACUAACAGUUUCGUUAGUAAUUGAUUAUUAGUUUUACAUGGACAAUUGAUAUACACCACAUGAGCACAUACACGGAUACAAUGCCAGGCUCUUAGUUGAAAUGUGUGUACUGCUAAAGCUCAAGGAGAUUUAGUUGACUAAAUUGAUUUGAGUUGUAGAAAAAGGUUUAAUAAUAUAAUGGACUUUGAUAUAUGUAUUGUAGAUAUUAAGUAAUUCUCUUGAAUUUAUAUAUGUAACAUAAUUGUUAAUUGGCUCAUCCUUAACUAGAUAUUUUAUAUUACAUUCUUAACUACAGAUUUUGUAUUUAAAAUUUUUUUAAAAAAUUAACCUUUAUUUGGUAUGUGGAUUUUGUAGUCAAAUGUGGUCAAUUUACUUAGCCUUCGAUCGAAUACCUACCCAAAACAUAAAAAUAUUUUUUAAUCAUUUAUUUUCGACGAUCCAACUAUACGGAUAUUAUUGUAAUGUGAUAAUAUUGUUUACAAAUUUUUUUUAAAAAAAUUAGCCUUUUAUUUGGUAUGCGCAUUUUGUAGUCAAAUGCAAUUAAAUUACUUAGUCUUUAGUGGAAUCUUUACCCGAAACAUAAAACUUUUUUUUAAAAAAAAAUUUGGACAAUCCAACCGUACAGAUGUUAUUGUAACGUGUUAAUAUUGGUUAAAAUAAAUUUUGAGAAAAUAUGUCUUUUAUUUGGUGUGUGGAUUUUGUGGUCAAAUGCGGUCAAAUUACUUAGCAUUUAAUCGAAUACUUACCCAAAACAUGAAACUAUUUUUUUUAAAAAAUAAUUUCGGACGAUCCAACCGUACGGGGGUAUUGUAACACAAUAAUAUUGAUUAAUUUUUUUAUAGGAAAAUUAUAGCCUUUUAUUUGUUGUGUGGAUUUUGUUGUCAAAUGCAGUCAAAUUACUUAGCCUUUAAUGAAAUACUUACAUUAAACAUGAAUUUAUUUUUUUUUAAAAAUCAUUUGGAUGAUCCAAUCGUACGGAUGUUAUUAUGACAUGUUAAUUGAUUAAAAAAAUAUUUAAAAAAAAUGCCUUUUAUUUAGUAUGUGGAUUUUGUAGUAAAUGCUACUUAGCCUUUAAUCGAAUACUUACCCGAAACAUGAAACUAUUUUUCUAAAAAUCAUUUUGGACAAUCCAACCGUACGGAUGUUAUUGUAACAUGAUAAUAUUGAUUGUUUUUUUAUAUAAUAACCUUUUAUUUGGUGUGUGGAUUUUGUAGUAAAAUGCGGUCAAAUUACUUAGCUUUUAAUCGAAUACUUACCUGAAACAUGAAACUAUUUUUAAUAAAAUUAUUUUAGAUGAUCCAACCAUACAGAUGCUAUUGUAACGUGAUAAUUGAUUAUUUUUUAAAAAAAUUAGCCUUUAAUAUGGUGUAUGGAUUUUAUAGUAAAAUGAGGUCAAAUUACUUAGUCUUUAAUGGAAUAUUUAUUAGAAAUAUAUUUUAAAAAAUUAUUUUGGACGAUCCAAACUGUAUGAAUGUUAUUUUAACAUGUUAAUAUUGAUUAAAAUUGUUUUUAAAAAAAAAUUAGUUGUAUUUUAUGUGUGAAUUUUUAGUCAAAUACGAUAAAAUAUUUAUUUAGCUUGUAAUGAAAUAUUAAAACCCUACUUCAAAAGAAACUUGUCUAAAACUACCUAUAAGUGUUAGAGAAUCAUCGAUUUAGUUAUCAAAUUAGUUAUCAUAAGGGUUUUACUCCGCUUUUCUCUGGUAUGAUGUUGAUUUUUGGGGUUUGAUUGGUCGAUUUUCAUGUUUUAUAAGUUAUGUGAGUUCGAUUUUGAUGUUUUUACAAUUAGGUUUAUGUAUGUUCUUAUACAGGUUUCAUGUUCAUGUUUUGAUUUGUUGAUUUCCUAUUUUUCAUAUUUUGUUGAUUAGUUAUUUGUGUGGGUUUUGAACUUUGAUGAGUGUGUAUGUAAUCUCCUGUUUUUUUUUUUCAUUUUUCUGGUUCGAACACUUCGAUUAGUAGCUGGAAAAACAGCUGAUGCGGCAGUAGCGGCUAGUGAGAUGGAUAACAAGAAAAGGAUGAUUUCGAGGUCAUCUCGUGCAAGUCUUCAGAUAUAGUUUUGUUCCUUUAUGUUUUUAAUUGACAUAAAUUUUCACAUUUGAUGAUUAUAUUAUGGGGGAUUCUGGGUAUACUUGUAUAUAAUCUAGCAAGUUAUUAUAAUUCUGGACGGGGGGCUUAUUGUGAAAUUAAAUUGAGGGAUAAGUUGUGUUAUUGGUUCUAGUGGAUUAAAUUUAUGUUGACACUUGAUAUAUGCAUUGAUGUCGUAAAAUAAGUUGCACAUCAAACUAUUUGGCUUGUUUAAGUUGUAUGGAGUAAGGCUGUACGCGGAUCGGAUCGGUUCGGUUGGAGGGUAAUAACCAAACCAAACCGCAACUUACGGUUUUCUAAAAUCUCAAACCGCGACCAUACUGUUGGUUAAAAAAACCCAACCAAAUCCAUCCACGUAAUUGCGGUUGGUUGCGGUUCAACUGCUAAAAUAGUUAUAACAAAGAAAAUAUAUAAGUUAUUGCUUAAAAUCUUGCAUAAAGUACAGACUUUAACUCAAAAAUAUAUAAUUUAUCACUUAAAAUCUUGAAUAAAGUUAAUACAAUAAAUCUGAUUACAUAUUACAAAAGCAAACUACUCCGGAAAUAUAUAACUUGAAGCAGAGCUUCAAGUUAAUGGUUAUUAAAAAUUUCAUCCGCGACUGCCCACAUUUUACGGUUAUCCAUAAUACACGGAUCGGUUGCAGGUGGUUGUUGCGGUUAAUGCGGUGGAGCGGAUUGAACGUACAGCCCUAUGAAGUAUGGUUGCCAAGCAUUGGUUGGUUGUACACGUGUAAACAAAAUGAUAUUUUAAUAUUUAAACAAAACAAUACAGUCAUAAACAGAUCGUGUCGGGCUGGACUGAUUGUGAUUUUCCUUUUUGGAACUCGUACUCGGCAUCUUCCAAGCGAAUGAUAUUUAGAAGUUUGUUGCUAGUAUACUCCAUGUCAUAAUAAGAGUUCUUUAGAUUUUUUAUAUGUAAUUCGAAGUAUAAAAAACAUAUUUUAACAUAUUAUUUUUAAAUUUUUUAUACAUAAAAAUAUAACAUCUAUAUUUUUAUUUAGAAAAAAAUUUGAAAUAUAAUAUAUAGAUGCAUGUCUUUUUUAUACGUGAAAUUACAUGUAAAAAAUUAAAAGACUCUUAUUUUGAGUAAGAGAGAAUAUGAUGUACCAUAAAGUCAUCGAUCUUUUGUUAUCAAAUAAAUGUGAUAUUUAAUUAUUUAAGAGCAAGUCCAAAAGUAUCUUAGUUAAAGUCCUAAAUAUAAUAUAAAAUAUUACGUUCUGGUGAUUUAGGAUAUAUUUUACUAACUUGGACUCCAACAAUGUGUCUUAUUCUCAUAAGAAGUUUAAUAUUUUAUUAUUAAAGACUCUCUUUCAUCAUUAAAGCAUAAUAUAAAAGUAGAGAGAGAAAAAGAGUGUUGAUAAGAAUUAAUAAUAAAAUAUGGGAUAGGGUUAGGAGAGAUGUGCCUCAAAAAUAGGGUUUGAGGAGUUUCAUUAGGUGUGGACACGGAGACCAAGAAGUAAAAGAUGAGUACAGUUAAAUGAAGAUGUGGUAAAAUAAUGUGACCCAUUUAUAUUUAAUAAUACAUUUGAAAUAGUGGAGGAAAGUAACGAGUGUAAUAACGUUUAUAUUAUUAUAGCAUAUAGAUAGCAGAAGAAAGCAAUGGGUAUAAAAGUGUAUUAUAUUAUUAAAGUUUUGAAAUGUUUAGAAAUAAUGGGGCAAUCAAAAAGAAAACUGUAUAAAAAUGGACGAGAGAAUACAAUUCAAGAAGUAAUAUAUCUCAAUUCAAACUAGGUAAUAUAUUUAUGAAUUAUAUUAAAAAAAAUUUGACAUUCAAAUAUAAAAAUUUAUUUUAUCAUCUUAACAAUGGAAUAUUCGAUUAUUAACUUUCGUAAAUAACAUUAAUUUUUCAUUAUAAUAUACUCUAAACUUUUAUUUUAUGUGCCUGUUUGUUUACAAGAAGCUGGAGUCCUACUUCUCUUGACUCGUUUGUGUAAAAACGUAAAAAGUGCUUUUAAAAAGUACUGAGAAGGAAAUGGAAGUAGAAAAUGCUAGUUUUUCUUUAUAAUAUCUAUUUCUUUUCUAGACACUUUAAUAAUUUAUAUAUAUUAAUUUAUUUCUCACUUAUACUCCAUUUUUUUAUAGAGAACUUCUUUUAAACUAAUCGGCUCCUAUAAUCAGUAGUUUCUCAAUUUUAAUAGGAAUAAGAGCAUGUUUAUCUGAGCUUAAAGCCCGGGGUUUAUAUCAUCUCUGGCUUUAAGCUGAAAAAUGUAUGUUUGUGUAUUAAGUCGGAAGUCGGCUUAAAGUCGGAAAUAAGUCAAAAAUUGACCUAAAACCAGAAGUUAGUUUGAGAUACUUUUCUCGGUGACUAAUUUUUUUUUUAGCCAUUUUUUGAUAAAAAUUAUUCCUAAAUCACAAAUUACUCAUAAAUUACUUUUAUUAUUAUUAUUAUUAUAUUUUUAAUAACUUAUAAAUUAUUAAUAAAUCAAAAUUAAUCAAACAAAUAUUUUAAGUUCUCAUAUUAUGAGAUAACUAACGUUAAGUCAUGAAUCAACUGAACGGGAUGUAAGUCUUCUUCUCCCCGAGUCAUCAGCAGACUUUUUCCAUGUCUUCUGAGCCCCCAUUGGCUCACAAUUGGCCCAAAAAAUAUUUGGUUAUGCAUUGCUAUUCACACACUUAGACAUCAAAAUUUAUCAUCCGACAGGCGACAGCUAACUGCACACUAUUUUUCCCACAAGCUGAAAAAUCAACGAUCAAUUAAUUUUUCUUAUCAAUUAAUAAAGUUAUGAUUUCACGUACACGGCAGGCAAAAUGCUAAUAAAUAGACGAGUGCAGUAUAGUAUGGGUUCAUGAUCACCUUGAGAUUUAAUUGAAAAAUAUUAUGGUGAUAUAGAUUAAAUUAAAUUAUAAUAUCUUGAAAAGUUAUAAAUAAUUUUAAUUACUAAUAAUAUUUAUUUGUACAUUUAAAUAUUUUUAUAAAAACACAAAAAUAGCAUUAUACUCAUUUAAGUUUCUCGUAUCCGCCUCUCUUCUUGGAGAUUGUGGAUUUGCGAUAUUUAUAUUGAUUAUUAUAGGAAAAUGUUAUUUCCAGAGCAAACAUUUUUAUUUCCGGAGCAAAUUCAAACAAAUUUUUCCAAAUUGUUCUGGAAAUUAAAAUAUUGAUAUGGAUAUAACAAUUCCCUUAUUAUAUCCUAUGUAUAUUACAUUAAUGCAAUUAACAUGGUUGAUUGUUUUAGUAUAUAAUCAUAUUACUGUGACCUUUUAGUAUAUAAUUAUAUUAUUUUUGUUAUAUUUUAUGCAUCUAGAAACAAUUUUUUUAUGAUAUUUAUUAUAUUAAUUAUAGUAAAAGAUAUAAUUUUGUUUAAAAAAUUGAAUAAAACUAAGAGGGAUAGCCUACGUCUCUCCGAGUCUUCGAGGACUCAUUCCAAGUCCGAGAGGACCACAGCCUCAACCUUUAAGAGAUGUGAAAGUAGCUUGAGAGUGAUAUAAAUUUAUUUUUGACAAUAAAAUUUAAUAAUCAAAUAAAUUAAAUUAAAUUAAACUAGUUUAUAAUCGAUUAAAAAUAUAUAAAUCAAAAUUAUUCCCGAAUUAUGAUAACAAUUAAAAUCAUUUUAAAAGUUGCAUAAAUCAAAUCCAAAUCGAACAAAUUCCCCUAACACUAAAAUGUAGUUGCUUUAUUGUAGAUAAAAACAGUAUAAUAAUAGUAUUGAUGAAAAAUCAAAUUCAUCAAAUAAGUUUAUAAAAAAUACAUGAUUUUAAUUUUAAAAAAAAAACAUGAUUUUAGUGUGUUGUAUUAGUAGUGUGUCCACGCAUUUAUAUAUUAAAAUCUAUCCUCUAAAAACUAUCGAUCUAUUUACACAACUAUUGAUCUGUCGUGCAACAAAUUCCAGGGCGAAGUUCCAAAGAGAGCUUAAAUGGCUUGCAUUGCUCAAUCUAUCUCAUAAUAGUCUUAACGACAUAUGUUCUGAAUUAUUAUUAUGAUUUCAACAAUAUUUUCAAACAUUUCUUAAUAUGUAUUUUCAAAGAAUUCUCAAGCACUUGAACAUUUGGACCGGUUCUUUCGAAGCCAGGCAAUGCACAAAAAUGUCCAAAAAUGAAUAAAUUAAGAGAGAGUAGCUCACCCUUUCAAAGCCUUCCAGGACUCAUUCCAAGUCUUCGGAGGACCACUGCCUCCCCCUUUCAAAGAUGUGAUAGUAGCUCGAGAGUGAUAUAAAUUAUUUUCCCGACAUUAAAAAUAAAAAAUCAGAUUAAAUUAAUCAAUAAUAACUUAAGGAUGAAAUCCAAAUUAAUCCUAAAUUUUGAUAAUAUAUAAAAAUUAUAAUUAUAAAUUAUAUAACCAAAUCAGAAUUGAAUUAACUUACUUGGCACUAGAAUUGCUAAAGACAGUAUAAUAAUUUAAUUGAUGAAAAGUCAAAGUCUUCUAAUAAAUCCAUAAAGAAUAUGAUAAUAUGAAAAUUAUAAUUGAAAAAUCAAAAUCAAUAGUGUAUUGGAAUAGUGUUCACACACUUAUAUAUCAAAAUUUGUGGUCCAAAAACUAUAGCACAAUAUCCUAAAUACAUCACAUUAAAUAAUAGCACAAAAAUAUUCAAUAAAUAAUUGAUUUCAUUCAUAAAUUUGUUAUUUUAAAAACUAAUAAUUUGGUUGAUGUUAACCUAUAUUUUAUAUAUAAUUUCGUCUUAUUUUAUUUUACUAGAAACAAUAUUUUUAUAAUAUUUAUUACAUUAAAUAUAUUAAAAGAUAUAAUUUUAUUAAAAAAAUUGAAUAAAAUUAAAAGGAUAAGUCUCGGCCUCUCCAAGUCUACAAGACUCAUUUCAAGUCCACCGAGGGCCUCAACCAUUGAGAGAUGUGAAAGUAGCUUGAGAGUGAUAUAAAUUAAUUAAAUUAGUUAAUAAUGAAUCAAGACUAAUCAUGAAUUAUGAUAAUAAUUAAAUAAAUUAUAAAAUUAAAUUAUACAAAUAACACUAAACCUUAGUUACUUUAUUGGUAAAUAAAUAUAAUAUAAUAAUCAAAUUGAUGAAAAAUCAAAAUCAUUUAAUAAAUUCACAAAAAAUAUAUGAUCAUUAGUAUGUUAUAUUAGUAUCCACACACUUAUAUUUCAAAAUCUAUCCUCCAAACUUAUCAUCUCUGUAAACUAGCCACAUAAAAUAAAAAUUUAAAGAUAUUAGAUAUUUAGUUAUUUUCAUUAUAUAAUUUUUCCACACGAAAUAACAAAAUAUCUUUAUCAAAUUAUUAUUUAUGAGUUAAAUAUUCAAUUUAUAAAUCCAGUAUGCAGCGUAUAAAUAGAAGUGUGCAGUAUGAUAUCAGAUUCACAUAACCCAGUUGAUGAGGAGAAACAUGGCAUACUCUGCAAAGCCUUCUCACCUUCUUCUCUUUGUUUUCUUUCUCUCAUCACUUGAAUCCAUUCUUGCAACAACACGAGAGGGAGAAGCUCUUGUGAAGUGGAAGAAUAGCCUAGCCCCUUCUUCUUUUCUCGACUCUUGGUCACUCACCAAUCUCGAUAAUCUUUGUAACUGGACUGGCAUUACUUGUAACUCUGCAGGUUCAGUCUCUGAGAUUAACCUUAGUGAGAAACAACUUGAUGGAAUGCUGUCCGAGUUUGGUUUCACUUCAUUUCCAAAUCUCAACAAUCUCACCCUCGCAUACAACUUCUUCUCGGGUCCAAUACCGCCAGCCAUUGAGAAUUUAACACAGCUUCAAUACCUUGAUUUAAGCUUUAAUUAUCUCGAUGGUCCCAUUCCGUUCCAGGUUAGCCAUCUUCAGAGGUUGCUCAUCUUAAACCUGUCACAGAAUGCAUUGCAAGCUCCAAAUUGGUCCCAUUUCUCUCCCAUGCCUUUCUUGCGCAUCCUCGACCUUAAUAGCAAUCAUCUUGCGUCGAACUUCCCAGAAUUUAUAUCCAAUUCUCAUAGCUUGGCUAUCCUUGACCUUGGAUAUAACAACUUUACAGGUGACCUUGUGCGUGAAUUUACUAAUCUACAAAAUCUUGAAACCCUCUACCUAGAUGAAAAUUCUUUUGAGGGGCCAUUUCCGCCGGAUGUAUUCAGGCUUUCCAAAUUAAAACAUCUUCGCCUGUCAGGUAACAAAUUCUCAGGUUCAAUUCCCAAUGACAUAAGGUUGCUUUGUGAUCUUGAAUCCCUAUAUUUAAGCAACAAUUCCUUUAAAGGACCCCUUCCAUCAAAUAUAUUCAAGCUUUCAAAAAUAAAACAUCUUGUUCUUUGGAGUAAUAAGUUUUCUGGUUCUGUUUCCAAUGAUAUAGGUUUACUUUCUGAGCUUGAAACCCUCGAUCUUAACUCUAAUUUUUUUGAGGGGCCGCUUCCGUCAAAUAUAUUCAAGCUCUCCAAACUAAGGUAUCUUUCCCUUUGGGGUAAUAACGUUUCAGGUUCUAUUUCCAAUGAUAUAGGUUUGCUUUCUGAGCUUGAAACCCUCGAUCUUAACUCUAAUAUUUUUGUGGGGCCGCUUCCGCCAAAUUUAUUCAAGCUCUCCAAACUAAAGAUUCUUUCCCUUUAUAAAAAUAACUUUUCAGGUUUUAUUUCUAAGGAUAUAGGUUUGCUUUUUGAACUUGAAACCCUCUAUCUUGGCUCUAAUUUUUUUGAGGGGCCGCUUCCCCCACAUGUAUUUAGGCUCUCCAAAUUAAGAGAUUUGGGUCUCAGAGACAAUAGAAAUUUAUUUCAAGGAAGUAUUCCUAUUGGACUGGGACUCUUGACUAAUCUCAGGUACUUGAGUCUAUUUUCCAAUGAUCUCAGUGGCUAUAUUCCAUCUGAGAUUGGAAACCUGAAGCUACUAAAAGUUCUUGAACUCGGUUCUAAUCAAUUGACAGGACCGCUUUUAAAGAUAGUUUCUAAUCUCAAAAAUCUUAUAUAUCUUGGUGUAAGUGGUAAUAGUCUUAGUGGAAAUAUUCAGAGUGACUUGUGGAAAUAUAACGAUCAUCCAACUUUGGAAUACAUCAAUUUAAGUGGGAACCAUUUUACGGGUAUAGUUUCUCUCUAUAGAUCUUUGUCAUAUGUAACUAAGCUAGUAAUCUGAUUAUUGCCUUUUCACCAAAGUUUCAACAAUCUUGACAGGUGAGCUUCCAACAACAAUUUGCAAUGUCACAUCCCUUUUGCUUCUUGAUUUGUCAAAUAAUGAAUUAAGUGGUGCACUUCCAAACUGUUUCGGAAAUCUUGCUGAUAGAUUGCUUUACGUUAAUCUUGCUAAUAAUCAGUUUCGAGGAACAAUACCAACUACUUUCUCCAGGAGUUGUCAGCUGAAAUAUCUAAACAUGGAUAAUAAUGAGUUUGAAGGAUUGUUGCCCCCGUCUUUGGAAAACUGUAAGCACUUGAGAAUUCUUGAUAUUGGCAAUAAUAAAAUAGGUGGUACAUUUCCGUCAUGGCUUUAUGUACUUGGAGAGCUAGAAGUCCUUGUCUUGCAAUCAAAUAAACUCUAUGGUACAAUAAGUGGAAGGAGCAUAGAAGAUCCCUUCCGCAAGUUGCGGAUUGUGGAUCUGUCCAACAACCACUUCACAGGCCAUUUGCCAAUUCAAUACUUUAAGAAUAUGAAAUCAACUGAUAAUUUGUAUAGUUAUCAGCUUUCCACAGCAGUUUUUUCUUUCCAUUAUGAAGCAGCAGUCUCAUUAAUUGUGAAGGGAACAGAGUAUGAAGUAGCAAAUAACCUUCAUAUUUACACAGCCAUUGAUCUGUCGUGCAACAAAUUUCAGGGAGAAAUUCCAAAGGUUACUGGAGAGCUUAAAUGGCUGGCAUUGCUCAACUUAUCUCAUAAUAGUCUAACAGGACCUAUCCCGUCAUUGCUGAGAAAUAUGAAAGAACUCCAAUCUUUAGAUUUGUCCUCAAAUCAACUGACGGGGGCUAUUCCACCUCAGUUAACUGCGCUGACAUUUCUAGAGGUCUUAAACCUCUCGGGAAACCAUCUUAGUGGAGAGAUUCCUCAGAAAGGACAAUUCAGCACAUUCAACAAUGAUUCGUAUCUAGGAAACUCCGCUUUAUGUGGAUCACCAUUGACGAAGAAAUGUGCAAACACAGCAUCACCUCCACAAGAAGUCGGAAAUGUUGAUGAAGAUUAUGCGGGUGAUGAAUUGACAUGGGAAGCAAUCAUGAUCGGAUAUGGAUGUCGACUGAUAUGUGGAUUGUCAUCUGCAUACAUUGUUCUCAAACUAGGAAAGCCUUGGUAGUUUGUGAGAUAUGUCGAAGUACUGCAACAGAAGUUGAUGAAAAGAUGCUUGAAGAAAGGUACUGGUCGACCAAUAAGAACUUGAAAGUUGUUGUCCUGGUAGACAUUUCUGAACCAGUAGUAUUUGGUAUUAUGUGAUAUUCUGUUUGGUCCGGACUCAUAACGAUUUCGCUUGCUUCAGGAGUAUUAAUAUUAACCUUCCUAUCUUGAUCAAUGUUAAUGCAAAUUAAAAUGAAAAGGCAAAAAAUAUGCAUCAAAUCCCCUCCUGUUGUACCAAGAUUCAUUAAUUAAGAGGCAUGGCUUUUGUCUCUCCAAGUCUUCGAGAAAUUAUUCCAAGUCUUCUUUGGAGGCCUACUGCCUCAACAACCUUUCAAAGAUGUAGCAGUUGCUCGACAGUGAUAUAUAUAUUAGAUAAAGACUAUGCAACAACCAACGUGACAGAAAAAUCAAAAUAGGACAAAAUCCGUACGAAUCAAAAUAGUUUAUUUCUAAGGGGAAUAGCUGAAUUAAAUUGUAAGAGAAGUAAAACAGAUUCUUUUAUAUUUUGGAAUAUAACUGAAAAAGAUUUUGAGAUAAUUUUCAGAAAUCAAACCAGUCAAAUAAAUAUUCGCUGAAGGAACAGAGUAAAGAUACAACGAAUAUAACAAGUUGUAAGAUGAAUAUCGCUGAAUCAAACAGGGUAGAACCCGUACAAAAACGCCAAACAGAAAGGAUCAAAACAGAGUAAUCAAAUUUACCUAACACUAAUAGAAGUAGUGCUGAAUAAAAGAGAACGAAAUCUGUACCUUAAAAAUAGCAAACGCAAACACUAACCAACCUCACAAGGGACCAUCUAAACUCCCUAACCCCGACUUUAUCUUAAACUCCAAAUAUCUCCCUGACUCCAAUAUGCCCAGAACAAUAAACGAAUGUUUUGACCUUCUAAACGAUGUUUUCUGGAAUAACGCAAAACACGAAAAUCGUAGAGAACGAAAAGACCUUUCCGAAAAGGUAAGGCUCGUCAAGAACGGAGUCAUAACGAAUCGGGAAUUAAAUAAAACGUCCGCUGAUUCAGAACUCAAAGCGAGAACAGGAUCUGAUUAAGUUUUGUAAUUUUGAGAACAGUUUGAAACAUAAUCUGAGAAAACAUUAUAAACGAAAGUAUAUGAGAUUGAAAGAGCUUUCCGAAACAUCAAGAAUCAUCAAAUUCCGAUAAGAAUUGAAUUUUCUACGAAUUUUACAAGACAGCUGAUUUGUGAGAAUAAAGCCCUACGAAUUUUUGUCAUAAAAAUGAAGAGAAGGUUGAGUAGCUCUCAAAAGUAUAUAAAAAGAAUGAGAGAACAAAUCAAUAUACUCCCUUUGUCCCUCUCGUUUAUUUACAGUGUUUGACACGCAUUUUAAAGCGCAUAUAAAACAUAGUUCUAUGAUUUAUUUUCAAAAUUUUUCUUUUUUGUAUAAAAAUUUAAACAUCAAAUUUUUAUCUAGAAAAAAAGGAAGUUCAAAAUAAUUUAUUGAACUACGUUUUACGAGAGCAUUAGAAUGCGUGCCGAGCCCCCGUCCCCCAAUGUAAACAAAUGAGAGGGACGGAAGGAGUAUAUAUACAGAGUCUUGAGACCCUAAUUCUAAACCUAUCCAUUAUCUGAAUGCAAGGCUGAUCUAUAUUUUAAGUACACUAUCCUAAUUCAAUUUUAAAUCCUAUUCAUAAUCUAAUUUUAAUCCUUUAUUAUUAUUACUAACCAAUUAAUAUUAUUUUAAAAAAAUACUGGAUAUUACAUUCCUGAUCAGACUAGUGAUCGGAUUGCAACCGCAAAGCAGCCUAUAUAUAGUGACAAUUAAAUACACAACAAAACAACUUCUUUCUUCUCUCUUGGGUUAUAAUACUCAGACGGACAAGCUAUAUCUGAGGCGAUUUUCUGGGCGAUUAAACACACAAUAAAAGCAGCUUCUUCUUCUUCAAUUAAGGUUUAUUCUACACCCAAUCACAUACACACACACACUUUAAUAUGACUAGUGAGUUCAAUUUUUGGUGGUAUUAUAUGAUUAUCAUGUUCUCUUUUUAAAUAUUAGUAACGUUAUUUUCGGAGUGGACUCUGUUGAUGUUUAAAUUUGAUAUAGAUAUUGUAAUUGAAAAUUUAUGUUGAUUUGUUGUUCAGAUUUCAAGUAUUAAUUUGUGUGUGAUCAAAAUUUUGCUUCUACAUCGAUUAUCAGGAGGAAAUAUGAGGCCGAUCUUGAUCAAAGGACACGAAAGGCCAUUAACAUAUCUAAAGUAUAACAAGGAGGGUGACCUCCUCUUCUCCUGCGCAUUAGACAGAAACCCCGCUGUUUGGUACGCUGAUAAGGGAGAGCUUUUAGGCACUUACCGUGGGCACAUUGGUUCUGUUUGGGGUUGUGAUGUUUCUAGGGAUUCAAAACUUUUAAUAACUGCAAGUGCGGAUCAAACAGCAAAGGUAUGGGAUGUUCAAACUGGGUCUGAGCUGUUCACGUUUGAAUUUAAGUCCACUGUGAAAUCAGUAGAAUUUGGUGUCGGAGACAAGCUUGCUGUCAUUGCAACAGACUCCUUUCGUGACAUGUCUUCUGCAAUUCAUGUCAAACACAUAGCCAGAGAUCCUAGUGAACAGUGCGGUGAUUCUGUGAUUGAAUUCUCACCUGGAGGAAGAAUCAAUAGAGCUGUUUGGGGACCUUUAAAUAGGACCAUAAUAAGUGGUGGUGAACAAGGCGUUGUUCGUGUGUGGGACGUUGAGACAAAGAAAGUGAUUUAUGAGUCAGACAAGGAUACUGGUCAUCAGAAGGCCAUUACAUCACUUGCAAAAUCAAGAGACGGUUCACAUUUACUUACUGCUUCCAUUGACAAAUCAGCUAAGCUUUGGGACAUCAGAUCAAUGAAACUUCUCAGGACAUACAAGGCUGAAGCCCCAGUUAAUGCAGUUGCACUCUCUCCACUACUUGAUCAUGUCGUGCUCGGAGGUGGUCAAGAUGCAUCGACUGUUACAAACGAUCCUCGUGCUGGCAAGUUUGAGGCCAAAUUUUAUUCCAAGGUCCUUGAAGAAGAAAUUGGAUCUGUGAAAGGACACUUUGGUCCGAUAAAUGCAUUGGCAUUCAACCCUGAUGGAAAAAGUUUCGCAAGUGGAGGUGAAGAUGGUUAUUUGCGAUUACAUCACUUUGAUCAUGACUACUUCAACAUGGCGAUUUAAUUCGAAUUACUUACAUUGCUACGUCUUUUUUUUUUUUUUUCCGGUUUUAUUCAAGUUAUUUUCUGGUUUUUAUGUUGAUCUUAUGUUCUUUGUUAUAAAUAGAAGUGUGGUUCCUUUUAAAACUAUUUACAUAAGUUUUUGGCUUUUCAUGUAAUUUAAUCAAAGUAAAUGCCAUGAGAUCCUGAAUAUAUCUACUUAUCUAUCUAUCUACUUAUUAAAGCAGAAUCAGGGGAAAAAUAUACCAGAAAUUGGAUGAAAAAUUUACAUACACACCCUCAAUUAUUCAUCAAUUCCGAAAUUGGCCUGUAGUUUAGCUGUUAACUUGCAGGAUUUUUGUAAAAGUAGGAAUCAGCGAUUCUUAGGUACCCCAGUGACCCCGAAUCGGUUUCUCAGAUUCUUGGAAAUCCUCGGUCAGUUGAUUUAGAUUGUGGGCAUAUAUACACCUAUAGUCAGCCUCCGGCGGUGCAAUCUUUUGGUGGUGUUUUUCAGCCUUUUCUGCUAUAGCGAUUCUUGUUAAAACAUUCAGGUGCUAGGGUUGUUUUGUUGGUAAAGGGAAUUGGAUUGUUGUAUCUGCGGUUGUGGCAAAGGUAAUUUUCUUGCCCUUGCUAUUCUUUUGGGAUGUCUGAUUAUAAAUAGCCCUUCUAACUUUGUUCACCUGUUCUGUAUGAUGUGUGUCAUUUGUGAUUGAGUCGAGCAGUAUAUCAUUUUGAUGCAUAUUGUUAAUUUCACUCUGGGAAAUUUUUAUGCUGAUGUUUGGGCAAUUAAUUCUGGUUAUUUCGUUGAUUUUGUUUGUGGUUUGUUUCCACCUGCCAUUAGAACUGUAAAGUAAAGUGUAUUUAUUGAUCAUGAUUCAAGUGUUUGUAGAUAAUCGAUGUGGGUGACAAAGAAGCUGCAAAUGAUGAUGGUUCUUCACAAAUUUUAUCUGCUUUGCUUCCUUUUGUUGUGGCUCUCACCAUGGUUGUCAAGUCGACGACUGCUGUUGCUGCUCUUGCUCAGCCCUCAACUUUCACCUGGUAACAACUUUUGUAUGUUUGGUAAAAUAUUUUGAUUUUUUUUUUUUUGUAAGGGUAAAAUAUUUUGAUUGUGAUAAGCUAAUUUAUUGUUUUUUAAUGAUUCCAACACUACAACAGAUUUAGCAUCACACAACGGUUUUUGCCCGUUGUCUGAGACCACGGAAAACCGUGGUCUAUCGAGACGCCGUCUGAUAUGCGUAUCAGACAACGGUGCGCACCGUUGUGUGAUAGUGCUAAACACGAUGGUUUACGUUAAAAAAAUUGUUGUGCAACACCCAGAACCAACAACGUUUACUCUUAAACGUGGUGUUGUUAGAAACACUCCUUAACAAUAGUCGAUUUCAAAAAUGGUGUUGUUAGAGAGACUAUCCACAACAGUUUUAUUAGCUCGCAAGACUUGUUGGAAAGAUGAUCAUACAACAGUAGUUGAAAUAGAGAAGCUCGUUCUUUCCUCUCUUGUACAACGGGUUUCGAACACCAAGCCACUUGUGUAAGGCCCCUUCUAACAAUGUUUUAAUUAGUGAGGUUGUUGUGUUUAGUUACGUCAGACAAUGGUUUUCUUUCAUAGUUGGUUGUCGUUUACAUGUUUUAACAAUUGUUUCUGUUUCAUCAUUAUUGCAAGUCAUUUGUUUGGACAAUGGUUUUGUGACAAUAAAUCAUUGUUUCCAGUUUUAUGAGACAAUGUUUUUAAUGAAUAAUGAUUAUUGUAUCAUGUUCAGUAUGACAAUGGCCCUGUAUUAUCCCAUUACCUAAAUACAUAAUAGACAAUGAUUAACAUAACUCGAUUAAACUAAGCUAGAGAAUGUAAUUAAAAAGCCAAAAAUUUGUAAACAAAAAAUUUCAUUAUGCACUAAUAACCAUUGUUACAACCAAAUCAUAUAUACCAUCCAAUAUCCAGAAAUAUUUCCCCCGAGGAUGGCAAAUCUCAAAAAUAUAAAUACCUACAAUAAAUGGUAGCAUCUAGAGAGGCAUAUGUGACUACAAGAGUCUUUUGUGAGCUUUUCAACUACCCAGCCCAGGAACAAUCCUCUGAUUGCAUUCUUUUGAUUCGGAUGGAGCCCUCCUGCUAUCUCUUUUGGAAGUGACUCUACUGCAACCACCUGUAAUACAUAAAAAAGUUCUUGAUAUGCUUUUCGUACAAAGAAAUUAAUGUGGUUGAGGAGUAUGUUUCGAGUUCAAAAUAUACCAGUGUGCCAUCUUCCAUGGUUUCACGUCAUUCAUACACAAUAAAUUGUAGCAAUUGUGAGCCCUAUCAACAUACCAGUCUUUCUGUAUUUAGAGUUGGAGCAGCUAAGCCAAAAUCAGACAAAUGGGGAUUGAGUUCAUCAAGUAAAAUAUUUGCUGACUUUAAGGUACUAUUAACAACAUAAGGAACAACAUCAGCAUCUUGCUUCUAUCAUCAGUGAAGUAUAAAAACUCUUGCAAGCUACUAUUUGCAAUAUAAUCAUGGACCAGAAGACGUACCAUGUUCAGCGGAAUAUCAUUCAAAUCUCUGGCAUGGUUGUUGUGAUGGAUAAAAAUAAGUUCCUUUAUGACCUGAAUUAAACAUUAAAAGAUACCAAAUUAACCGAAAUGCGUAGAGAUGCACAAAAAGUCCAGGCCCGAAAAUAUGGUCAUAGAGAUUUAAAAAAAGUCGAAAAUAAAGACAAACCAUGUGAGUAAAAAGCAGAGUAAGGAGGAUUGAUGGUAGUGUUUGAUAUAGAUGCCAUGUGGGUAGAUCCAUAUGAGCUGCUGGAAGCAGAGAGAUUUCUUCCAAACUCUCUUACAUUAUUGACAACAUUUGUGUUAACAUAUAUGUGUUGUAUAUGAAAUUUUAAAGAUUAGAUACAUAAAUAUAAUAUUAUUCGGAAAAUAUAACAUACCAUCUCGAGUCAUUUUCUUGCUUGGUCAUUAAAAUAACCUACAGCAAGUAAUGUACCCUCACUCUAUAAGAAGAAGAUGGACAAAAAGAAGUCAGUUGUAUGGAUGCCUCGGAAUAUAUACAAGAAUGUCCCAGGGAUAUUUAUUCAGUUGAUGAAGCAUGUAUAUCUAGAAAUUAACAAACCUCAUCAGCCAAAACAAAUAUAAAAUUAAUAAAAUCAUCUGUCUCCAAACACACAGAUUAAAAUCAAAGCACAAAUGUUAUCACACAAAACCAAGACAACACAAGAUCCAUCACUAAAACACACAACUACUACUAAAAUCAAACACACAAACAAAAAUCUCAUAUAGAUUCAAACUUUAUCCCCAAAAUCAAGUAUAAUUACACAGUAAAAAGCAUUCGUUUACCUCUUCAUAAGGUGAAUUGUUGUUAAACUAAUCAGCACGGUCAACACCGGCAUCAAAAACUUGAAUGGCCUUUGGGGUUAUCGCCGACAGAACAGAUCUGAGUAAGCUUUGUAGAAAAUGAGAUAGAGACGGGGGAGGGAGGGGAGAGUUCAGAGGAGGGUGAGGGAGAGACAGAGGGCGAGAGGGAGGGGAGGGGCGAGAUGCUUUAACAAAUCAAUUGCGGCAAGAGUGGGGAAGACACAGCCGCACCAGAAGAGGAAGAGAUAGAUUCAGAAGAAGAGAGAUUUACUCUCACUUACAAAUUUUAGGUCAAAAUAGAGGGGGGGAAAUGAAAAUUUGGAUAAACAAGUAGAGAGGGAAUUGAAAAUUUUUGUAAGGUGGAAAUCAUUCGUUCAUCCCGUGUAAAUAACAAAAUCAAUGUAUUAUAAUAUCCAUAUAGUUGAAUUAUAAAUAAAUGAAUUUUUUAAAUUAUAUUUUUGUAUUUGAUUACAAAUAUUUCAUAUUAAAUAAAUUUUAAAAACAAUUUUAAUGUAGAUGUCAAUAUCUAAUUAUUUUAGUUAUUUGUGAAAAUCUUCAAAAAAUUAAAAAUUAAUCUGGUAAAUCUUUUUGACAAAAUAUAGUUGAAAUACAACUAUUUAAUAAAAAAUUAAUAAUUCUUUAAAAGUUAAAAUUCUCAUUUUCUCGAUGUAUUCCGUUUUUGUACUCUUUGUCUAAAUAAAAUAUACACAAAUUUUUAUUAUUCAUUUGUAAUAAGAAGAUAUUUGUGUGGUUCAAAUGUCAAUAUUAGUAUAAAUUUCAUAUUUACAAUAUAGGAUGUACUUAAUAGAAGUUUUGUGAUCUAUAUGAUUAACCCCGUAUUAAUUUUGAAAUAUUUUCGAUCAUCCAAACAUAUAAAGAUCUUAAUAUCUAUCAAUAUUAGUCAUGUAUAAUAUUUUUAAAUUUUUCUAUAUUUAUUUAUAUCUUGUUGUAACAAAACUAGUGAUGAUCGUUGUUUUUAUGUCAUUUCUUAUUUUUGUACUUUUUAUCAAAAAAUUAUAUUUAUAUUAUGCAUAUGUCCAAAUUUGUAUUAUUCAUUUGUAAUUGGAAGAUAAUUUUGUUGUUCGGACCUGAGUAUUACUAUGUGUUUUAUGUUCACAAUUUAGGAAGCACUAGAUAGAAUUUUUGUUAUCUACAAAAUUUGCUCUGAAUUAAUUUAUAAAUAUUUUUUUCGAUGAUAUAACCGUACGGAUGUUAAUAACUAACAAUAUUAGUCAUGCAUAAAAAAAUUAGAUUUUUUUAUGCUUAUUUUAUAUGCUUUUUUUACAAAACUAGUCAAUUGUAAAUUUUGUCUUAUUGUAAAAAGGUAAUUUUUGUCUUGUAGUGUCCAACAGACAACGGUACUUAUAGGCACGUGUGUUGUAUGAGUUAAAAUGACACAACUGUUAUGGACAUUAUACAGUCAUAACAAAAUCUAUUGUCUAAAAUAGGCUCAAACAAUGUUUCGGGAAAAACUCGUUGUGUGUAAGUAGUGUAGACAAUGGUUUCUGGGAGGCAAACCGUUGUAUAAUAAAUUUUCAUUUUUAAGAGUUAGAAAUUCACAUUUUCUUGAUUAGUUCUUGUUUUUGUACUCUUUGUCUUAACAAAUAUACUUAUAUUAUGUAUAUAUGCAAAUAUCAAUUGUCAUUUGUACUAUGAAGAUAAUUUUGUAGUUCGAACAUGAGUAUUGGUAUGUGUUUUAUAUUUACAAUUUAGAAAGUACUGAAUAGGAUCUUUGCUAUAUAUAAGAUUAGCUCCGUAUUAUUUUAUAAAUAUUGAUUUUGAUGAUCUAACCGUACGGAUGUCGAAAACUAACAAUAUUAGUCAUGUAUAAAAAAAAUCAAUUUUUUAUGUUUAUUUUGUAUGUUUUUUUUAACAAUACUAGUCAAUUGUAAAUUUUGUCUUACUGUAAAAAGGUAUUUUUUGUCAUGUAGUGUCUAACAUACAAUGGUUUUUAUAUGCACCUAUGUUGUAUAAUUGAAAAUGAUACAACUGUUACAGAAGUAUACCGUUCUAAGAAAAUCUAUUGUCUAAAUUAGGCUCAAACAACGGUUCACGGAAAAUCCGUUGUAAAAAAGUAGUGUAGACAACAGUUUAUGGGAAGGAAACCGUUGUAUAAUAAAUUUUCAUUUUUAUGAGUUAAAAAUUCGCAUUUCCUUGAUCAAUUCUUGAUCUAAUGCAAGAAAAACAUAUGACUAUCAAGAAAUUGAUUGUUUUGUUAUAACUUUGGUUAGGACUUUGAAUCUUUGCACUCUCUUAUGUACAUCCAUUUUCUUAAAAUUCAUUCAAUCAUACAACAUUUUAUUAGUUAGUAGAGGCUUGUCUAUAAUGCCAUGCUACAAUGCUAACAAAAACACUUGUAUGUUAGCUUCCCAGUCACACAACACUAUAUAAAACCCUUGUUUGAACUCCUCGUAAACAACACAACAAAUAAAACACUUGUCUAAUUACAACGACGGUUUCUUGAACUAUUGUCUGAAGUUUCUUCACACAUCGGCUCUCAAAACAGUUGUCUAACAUGCAUCAUUACACAAUACCACAGUUAAGAAACCAUUGUCUAAUUGAAUUUACUAGACAACAAUUUUUUAACCGUUGUAGGUCGUAGAUGUUAGACAAUAGUUUUUCGAGGCCGAAAAGAAAGUGUUGUGUCUUUUUUCCAAACAACGCUUUUUUCACCGUGCGUUGUCUGAUCAGUGUUGUCUAAUGGUGUUAUUGUUGUAGUGCAAGUUGGAUUUAUUUAAUGCUAAUAGGUACUUGUUCAAGUGAGGAGAUUUAACUGAGAUUCAGGUUCUGGCAUUUGUCUUGUGUUGUUAUUUGUUUAUGUACCGGUUUUGAGAGUCAUUAGAGAUAUGUAAGGUAUUUAUUCCUAUUUUUUAUUAUUAGUAUUACAUCGUUUUCGGGUAAAAUAAUCGAUGAUUGUUUGUUUUAACUGUGUAAUAGCCUUAUGAUCUGCCAACUUAUGUAGACAUGUGAUAAACAUGUUGACUGUGGUCAAUAUUUUAGAUGAGGUAGUGUGUUUGUUGUUAUUGCAAGACUUUUUGGAAUAAUCAUUGUCAAAAAGAACUAACGAUGAAUGGAAAUGAAGUUCUGAAGAAGUGAUGAUACAAUGUUAAAGAGAUUGCUUUUUGUUGAAUUUUUCUGACUCUGGAAUUAAACUGCGUUAGUAUCUUCUUCUCUGAUUUUCCUUAUUUGGUAGACCUACUACUUUCAGAAGAUACAUGUGGUAUUUGUUUGGUUGAUUAAUUUUGGUAAGAUACAGUUUCCGUUUGGAAUCAGACUAUCCAUUGAACAAUCAGACUAUCCAUUGAAGAUUUUAUGCUCGCUCUUAAAUGGUUGAUCCACUGAUCUUAUUCUUACUUCAUAUGAGCUAAAGCCAGCUCUAGGGGUGUUUCUCGCAUACAAAAAAAUUAAAAAAAAUAUUAUGAAACUAUACUUUGCAGGAGUCUCAAAAUAAAUAAGUGUAAACGAUAAACUUAAACACCUAACUUCUUAAACACCUAGCAUAACACGGGUGAGCAUAUGGUCAAUCAUACCAAAUUGAAUAAAUCGAAAUUAAAAUUUAAAUAUUUUUAGACUGGACCAAACUGAAAUAUUUUGUCCGAUCCAGUUCAGUAUGAUCGAAAAGAAUUGAUUCUUUUGGAAAAAGUAACUUAAUAUUAUAAAUAAAAUUAAGAUUUAUAAUUUAUUUAAAAACUAUCAAUGAAUCAUCAACACUUCUUCAAAAAUAGAUACAUUUGAAUUUAUACAUUAGAUAUUAUAACUUCUAAAAAGUAUAUAAAAAUAUAUAAUAUAAAUAUAAAUUUAUAGUAUAAUUUUUUUGACUAUUUAGAAUAUAUUUUUAACCCAAAUAUUUUUUUUUAAAAUCAAAUUUUAUUUCGAUGAACUUUUCUAGAAAAUUAAGAUAGAAACGAAACUCAUUCCUACAGUAAGGUUUCAGUUUUUCGGCUGCAAUACGGUUUUGCUCAUCAUUAGCAUAAAUGGAGUAUGUAGUAAAUAUGAAUGAAUGGCAUGGGAAUUCUUGGAAUGGUAUCAAGAAUUAAGAUUAAAGCACAUUAGAAGUUUAGAACCAUGAAUGUUAUUUUUGAAAAUAGUAAUCCCUCCGUUUCUUAUCACGUUUCUCGUUUGAUAUGUCGGAACGGUUCAUAAUAUGAGACAAAUUAGUAAUUUAUGUCCAAUUUAUAAAAUUAAAUAUAGUCAUGAGUGAUCUUGUUGGAUUCGUAUCUAUGAGUACUUUAAUAAGAUGAAAUUUUUAUAUUUAAUGUUAAUACAAAAUUAAAAUAUAUUAAUUAAAAAUAUAUAUUGACAAACGUGAUAAAAACAAACAGCAAAAAUAUUAAGAAACGAAGCGAGGGAGUAAUAAAUAUGCUUUAUGCUGAACUGAAUUGAGUGCGUGGAAGCUUGGGGAGGCAGCUUACUACAGUAUCUACGUGUAUCUGUAUAUGCAAUAAAGACACAAAUACUCACAGGAGAUUAUUUUUCAAACACUUAAUUUCCCCCUUUCCUUCUCGUAAUAUUCAACUCAAUUCAUCACAUCAUCUUCUUCAGACAAACAACUAUACUCACUUCAGAUCAUCACAUCAUCUUCUUCUUGACUUCAGAUCCACAUUUCAAACCCUAAUCAUUCGCUUGGUCCCCUCCCUCUCUGUAAUAAUACAAUUCUUUCUACACACAAACAAUAACAUCAUCAUCAUCGAGUGAAGCUUCAUAUCCACAUUCCAAGACCUAAUUACUCGCCAAACCACUCUCGCUCUCAUGGAGGAGGCCUUAGAAAUGGCGAGAUCGAAUGAUACCAAGAAGCGAAGGGCGGGAGUGGAUCGGCUGCAACAGCUUCUUGAAGAUUCAAGAAAGUGCUUGUCAUCGUCGGAAGUGACGGCGCUAGUCGACACGUGUCUUGAGCUUUUGAAGGACACGUGUGUUGCUGUCGUCGGCCGCGGAGUUGUUUAAGUUGCAUUCUGAUAGAAUUAUGACGGCGGUUGUUGAUAGGUUGUGGGAUGGGGAGCAGCGGGUUCGAGACUCGGCGAGGAGGCUGUUGAUUACCCUUAUGGAGGUAAUUUAUUAAUUUUCUUGGGGAAUGCCAGUUGAUUUUAUGGAAUGUGAUAUAGUAUAGUUUCUAUCAAUCGAGUAUCUUAAAUUGAUGACUACAACAAGUAUUAUCGUUUUGCACGCAAGUGGCUAAACUUUUAUGCAUGCCAAAUUGCCAAUCGGGUUUCAAUUUCAGAUCUCUGCCUUCACUUGCAUACGAACACAUUUGAGUUUAAAAAGAUGAAUCACCUCAUAAAUAUCAUUAAUAAUUAGUUGGUGUUAAUAGUGCACUGAAAAAUGGGAGAGAAUGACAAGACUAUAGACAGUAGUAGGGCUGAGCGAGAUGUUAAUUGAGUACUUAUAUGAUGCUUCACUAUGUUCAGGGAGUUAGUUUAUUGCUUCUUUCCUACACUUUCACUUGAAUUAGUACUAAUUAAUAAUUCCUUCUCUAUCUUGUAAAAUUUCUCCUUCAUUGCUAAGCAUAUCUACUCUGAUUAAUUUUCAAACAAACUUUACUACUGAGAUAGGAUUGUUUGCUGGGUAGGAGCACCAUAGAAUGAGUAGCUCUAUUGCUAUAUACUGAAGGGUGCGGUGGCAUCCUCGGUUAUAUUUUAAGUGCUACUUCGAAUUUAGUUGUUGGCUUUUGCAAUUUAUUUUCAUUCACAAUGUUUUAAUAAUGAUACCCCAUAUUAGGUGAGAGAUAUUAGUGCCAGGCUGGAGCAGAUUCAGAUUCAACCAGCAACUUCCGUCUCUUCCAUCUCUGAAGGACUUAAUAGUAAUCUUCUCCACCAUGCACCUGAUUUAGAAGUAUAAUGUAUUAAUGUGAACUUUUUAUUUAUAUUUAUUUCCAUGUGUAGUAAAACGAUCACAUCUUUUAAGAGCUUAGUACAAUGUUAUGUACAAUGUGUAAUUAAUUAAGAGGUUUGUACAUAGUUUAGUAUGAAAUGGAAAAAGUUUGUACAGAAGUUUAUUUGUUCACAUUACAGCUGAGACGAGCAAGCAAAAACCAUCAGAGAAUUCAAAGGAUAAUGAUAAAGGAAUUGAGCCCCUACUGGAACUGCCGGAAGAUAUUAUCUUUCUACAAAUUCUGCCUAAGUUGAACAGCCUAGAUGUUCUUCCCCUGGUUUUGGUGGCUAGGAGUUGGGCCUCCUUUCUUUUGCAUGAGGGACCCAGACUGAUGUUAUUCAACCCACCUAAAAAUCCUACACCUAAACACACUUCAAUUUUAUUUGAUGUAAGCCCGAUUCCGUACUCUGUUUCAGUUUUGUUAUCCCCAGAGAGCCGCCAACUGUGUCAGUCUAGGUGUAUAAUUGUUCCAAUCUUGAAUUCUGGUAUAAAACAUGCUGUUCCAAUUUUCACUGACUACCCAGAUUUUUUAAAGCAGGGGGAAGUCCCAACUGUAGUGGGAUCUUCCAGUGGUAUUAUAUGCCUCUAUAUCACCAGUUCUCCCUCUAGAUACAUCCUGCUAAACCCCUUAACAAAACAUUAUAAAGAGGUUGGGGCCCCUUAUAUUUUUGUACCAGAUUGUGAGCAAGCUUCUGUAACUUCUGGAUUCUUUUAUGAUGAAUGGACUGAUGACUUAAAGAUCGUACAAUUGUUGAGAUGGGAUCAAAGGCUUACGAGCUUGGAUGCUCCGGGACCCAAAAAGAUACAUGCGCUUCGCGUUUGUUCUGUAAAUUCUGCAAAUUGGGAAGUUGUUGACUUGGGGCCAAUGAAAGUCUCCGAUCGUCUUGGUGGUGUGUUAUUUUUGCCGAAAGCUCUCGUCACAUUUGUAGAUGCGUUUGCUACAGAGCCGGAGAUUAACUUUUGGUUGGAUUUUCGUGAUUGCCGUCUAAAGGCAGUUCCGGAAUUAGAAGGGGCUGAACUCAGUAUGAAAUCGGUUUGGUGGAAUAACCAGGUUGGUGUUAUUGUUGGAACUGACAGCAUUUAUGUCCUUGAUGAGGAGUUUGCAGCCUGGUAUUACUGCACAGUGCUUCCGGACGUGGGAAAUUGUGUAUUCUGUUUAGAUGAGAACAAAAUUGUGGGGAUGGGGGCUGGGGAAAGCGGAAGCGUAAAUGAUUACAAUAUUCUUAAUUCCACAAGCGGCGAAAUCCAACAUAUAAUCUCGUUGCCUUCUUGCAGGGUUUUUCCGUAUGUUCCUACAUUCUACUAUAUCGAGGGAAUGGCUAAUUUUUAGACUUUUGCAAGUCACAAUGUAAUAAAAGAAUGUAAACAGUACAUAGCAGCAAUACCUCUCUAUAGCAUAUAGUUUCAGAUACAACAUGUAUUGUGAUGCCAGCUUGUAGAGUACAAGUAUUAUUCUAGGUGAUUGAUUGUUGAGAAUAAUAGAGGCAACCGGUUGCAUGAUGGUAUCCUUGAAACUUUCAUAAUUACUAAUAUCGAACUCAGAUAGCAUGCAAUUUUUCCGGAGAUCAUAUUCUUUAGCUAUCAACUAACUCUACAUUAUAUAUUAUGUCCCAGAUCAAUGAGUUUGUUUGCUAUAAUGUCCUAUUUUAUAUGUGAUUUAGGAAUAUGUUCCAUUAACUUGUUAUCACCCUCAAAUCUAAAAUCUAAGACUACCAUGUCCUUAGUUUAUUUUGUUUAAUAUUUGUGAAUAGACUCUAAUCUGAUCAUAUCAAUUAUAUUUUAGUAACAGAUGUUUAAAUGCAUAUGUUUUUGUUAUCUAGUUAUUUCAAUGAUGAUGGGAUUAAAUUUUUUUAUUCUUGUAAUAUGUACAAUGAUUGGUUUAGCUUUAAUAUUUAUUUUUAUUUUUAUUUACCAAUUUUAAUGUAGGUAAAGUUUUAUCAGCAAAUUUUAUUUUUUGUAUGCAGUAAUCUGUUCUAAUAUCAAAUUUUGAUUUAGAUCGAGUAUUAGUAUGUUGAAUUUGCAUUCAUCUAGUUAGAUGAGUGAAACUGGCUAAUUAAUGGAAAAUCAUAAGUACCUGAGUUGUUUUCAAAUUUUUUUCCCAAAUUUUAAUUGUUUGAUUGGUUUCUUCAAAUUAAUAUUAAUGGAAUCAUGAACGCACAUAAAUAAUUUAAUUAAAAAUUAUUUAUUUAUGUGUCAUUUAGAAAAAAUUGGGGACAAAAUUUGGGAUAGUAAUGGGGACGAAAUAUGUGUUAGCGUUAAUGGUUUAGCGGCAGUGGAGAACGCAAUUUAAGAGCAAAUCCAAUAGUGUCCUAAACUAGUAUCCUAAAUUAAAAAUUAAGGUAUUUAUAUAAAUGAGUGCUCCACCUAAUGAGUGCUCCACCAAUGUCCAGUGAUACCUUAAAAUACUAGGAAAUCCAUCAAGCGUCUCGUUUUUAAGACAUCACUAGGCAUGCCCUAUUUCACUUCUAUCAAUAAAAUAUAUCUUUCCCUCGUUUUUUACAGAUCUCUUCUCUCUCAUUUUUUCCAUUUAUGCCCAAUUAUAAUUCAAAUAUAAUACACCUUCAGUCCCUUUUUAGUUGUGAAAUUUACAAAAAUAAUUUGUCCUUAAAUAAUAUUCUCAUCCUUGUUCCAAUACAUAUUUAUACAUAUUUUUUCAUGUUUACCCCUUGAUUGUUGGUUCAAAUGUUUGACUGUACUACUAAUAUAUACAGUUUUGACUUAGUAUUUAAUAUAAUAAAUAAGGGCAUGCGUGGAAACAACUUACAACAUUUAAUUUUCUUUAAUAUAUGUAUUUUUGCAAAUGUGACAACUAAAAAGGAACAGAGAGAGUAUUAUUUUAAUCAUAAAACAUAUUGUUGGAGUUAAUAUAAAAAAAUCAUGUCUUAAAUCAUAAGAUUACUAUAUUUAAUUAUAUUUAUAAGGCAUCUAAUAGUACAAUAUUGGAUUUGCUCUGAUCACAGAUCAAUCAAAUGAUCGGCAACUUAAGCGAUCAAAUGAGAUGACUCGCAUAGUCCACGCUAAUCGAUAUCCUUAAGAGGAUGUUUGCCUGGGCUUAAAGCCCUUGCUUUAAGCCAUCUUUGGCUUUAAGCUGAAAAAUGUCUGUUUGUGUAAUAAGUCAGAAGCCAGCCUAAAGUCAGAAAUAAGCCAGAAGCUGACUUAAAGCCAGAAGUUAAUUUGAGGUACUUUUUUCAGUGGCUAAAUUUUUUUGAACUUUUUUUUUGAUAAAAAUUACUCCUAAAUCAUAAGUUUCUUAUAAAUCACUUUUAUUUUUAUUAUUAUAUUUUUAAUAACUCAUAAGUCAUUCAUAAGCCAAAAUUACCCAAACAGACAUUUUAAGCUAUCAGCUUAUCAGAUAAGACACGUUAAGUCACAAGUCACAUUAAGUCAUAAGCCAUAAGCUCAGCCAAACGGGCAAGUUUUCUAAGAGACAUUCCUGCUUAGUGCAUUUUUAAUAGGGUUGCCUAAAUCGUUGACGAAAUUGGACAUGUGAGACAUUAUAUAAAAUUUGUUAAACAUGUAAGUGAUUGUGUUUCAAUAAUGUUAACUACAUUGAUAGAUUAUAACUUAAAAAUAGUAUGUUAUUAAUAUUUAGAUUGUUAUAAAAAAAUAUAUGAGUUUAAUAUGAUAGGAAAUGAUGUGUAAAUUACCCCGAUUAUAUAUAUAUAUAAAUAAUAAUAUAUUUAUAUAUAUUAUACUAAAUAUAUUAUUAAAAAUAGAUAAAUUUUAUAAUAUAAUCAAAAGUAAAAAAUAAUCUUUAUUUUUAUUGAUUGAUUAUAAAUAUAUUGUAAUAUAAUAUAUUUUAUAAUUUUAAAUUGUUGUUUAUUUAUAUUAUAAAUCAAUUUUAAUAUGAUUUGAGGUUGAAAAUAUAAGAUAAUAUUAUUUUAUUAUUAUAUUAGGAGUUUGUAGUUUGUUUUUUAAUUAAAAAAAUAUAUUAUAUAUUAUAAAAUUAUUAUGUUUUUAUUAAAAAAUAAAAUUCCCCGAAACCCCGCGGGGAUCCCCGUUCCCCGUUCGGGGCGGGGAUCGGGGCGGAAAAUAAUCCCCGUUCGAGGUUCGGGGCGGGGUCGGGUAGGGCCGUAGGGGUAUUGAAUUCGGGGAUCGGGGUCGGGGAUAGCACUCCCCGCCCUCGAAGUCUCCCCGUGCCCAUCCCUAGUCGAACCUCUAGAGGUCCGUAAAAAAUCUCCAAGAAGAUUACACUAUGUAAUCUUCUUGGAGAUUUUUUACGGACCUCUAGAGGUUCGACAAAUAUAGUGGCCGGUAGGAUGUUGGUUAAAAUUAUAGAUAAGUGGUGUCUAUGGUUGAGUGUGAUUUUUUUGAAUAGAAUGGCUAUAUAUUUUAUUUUUGGGAUGCCAACUCAAUUUUUAAACUAAGGACUUCUCAUAUUUGGAGAUGCUAUAUGAUGGCAAAUCCCGCAAAUCUUCAAUUUUGACAUAUAUUAUCCUAAAUUCUCUUUCAACAAUGAUUGAUUCAAAUUUGGAUCAAGAUUGUUGGAUCCCGCUGACGUGGCAGUGACGUCAUGUUGACGUGGCGCCCUGGGGUGGACCCCGGUGCUGACGUGGCAGAUGACGCGGCGGUGACAUGGCGCCUGGUUGGGGUCCCAUUACUAACGUGGCAUUUGGGUAGAAAGUAUAAAUUACGGAAAAUUGAUGACAAACUGAGAGGUGCAUAUUAUAAGUUUUAAAAAGUAUGAGGAGAUAUUUGAUCAGUUUAAAACUAGUUUUUAGGUUUUUAGGCUAACCGUGGUUUGUAUAUUCGAGCAUCCCCGUGUAUAUUGACAUAUAGGUAAACUCCUUGCAAUACUUUGAGCUGCAAAAUCCAUCAAAAUUUUGAUUUAUCAUGUAACUGUUUGACAGAGUACUUCCAACUUUCAAGCGUAAGUAUCAAAAUCACUACCUUCAUAUGUUCCAUUAAGCGUGAAAGGUACAGAAUAAGAAGUGAAAGAAAUCCUUUAUAUUUACACGGCCAUUGAUCUUAUAGGAUCACCUAGCCCAUCAGUGCUAGGGAAUACGGAACCAUCUUAUCAAUUAACGAAGAAAUGUAUGCAUGCAGUGUCACCACCACAAGUCAGAAAUGGUGAUGAUGCUAAUGAUAAUGAACUCAAUUGGGAGUGAUCCUAAUGGGAUAUGGAUGUGGAUUGGUAUGCGGAUUCUUUGGGGUUUAUUGUUCUUACAAUGGGAAAGCCUUGGUGGUUUAUGAGAUACAUUGAAGUAAGUUGAUAAUGACAUGCACGGCUUAAUUAAGAUUAAUUAAGACAAACACCUUGACAAAAUGUUGUCUUAGAAUGAUAUGUAUUCUGAUUUUUCCUAAUUUAAAAUCAAAUUUAUUACAAUUAAAGUUAAAAUCUGCGUAGCACAUACUAUACUUUGAUUAAAUUUUUAUUGAAGUUGUCCAUAUUAACCUAGUGGCCGAAAGUGAAUAAAUUAAAUUAGUGGGGUCUAAUAUAAAAAUUGCAUUAAUUAAAAUUUGUAAUGUAUAGAUUAUGCUAAAGCUAUUCAUUAUAAAGAACAUAGGAAUGUUAAUCUCUUUAUAUGUUUGCAUGCGGAUAGUCUCUCGGGAGUGUGGUAUAUUGUCAUGGCUGGAAAAACGGCUAAUUUCUACGGUUUUUUUUUGACAGAAAUUAAUUUUGACGGAAUACUGUCGAAAUAUCGAAAGUCGAAAAUAAGCCGCAAAAUUACUUUUUUCAAUUUUCAAUUGAAAACUGUCAAAAAAGUCUCUGGCAAAAUUAUAUUUAUUUCUACAGAUAAUGUCGAAAAUAUUUUCCUGCAAAUUUCCCGCACCUUAGUUGUGAGCGGAAAUAGAUAGUUUGGACAGAAUUCCGUCGAAAUUACGCGAGUUCUUUGUAGUGUGUUUUCACACAUACGCUGAUAAUCUUUGGGGACUGGGGUAUAUUGUUUUCGCAAAGCACUGGUAGUUUGUGAGCUUGUCCAAUUUUUCCCCCCAUGCCUAUACUGGUUGGUCUCAGUCUUAGUGGUAAUAAGCUGGCGUCAAAUUUUCCAGAAUUCAUAUAUAAUUGCUAUAACAUGAUCCGAUGCCUGAAUCAGCAGCUAACAAUUUACGUAAUCUUGAAGAACUAUAUCUUGGUGCCAAUUCUUUCGAGGGCUCAUUUCCAACGAAUAUAUUCAAGCUUUCCAAAUUAAGGGUUCUUGACCUAUCUGUGAAUAAUUUUUCAGGUUCCAUUCCCAAUGGUAUAGAGAUGCUUCCCGAUCUUGGAAUAAAUCGUAUUUAUAAUAAUUCAUUUGAAGGAAUUAUUCCUUCUUCAAUUAGUCUACUUAAAGAUCUUCAACACCUAGACUUCGGUGACGACAACCUUGUGGUUUCAAGUAUAAUGUCUUACGGGUCCAAUCUAACCGAUCAUUACAGGCAACCCCAUUGGAGAUGCUCUUAAUAACAUUUUAACUAGAGAGUAUUUUCUAUCAAUUGCAUUUGUAUUAAAUUUGAUUUAGAUGAAGAGAAACAGAAUACAUAUGAUCCCGAGACAACAUUUUGUCAAUGUUUUCGUCUUGAUUGAACAGUCUUCUUCAUGCGUGUCCUUGUCAACUUCAGUUGCAGUAAUUCAAUGUAUCUCAGGAACCACCUUGGCUUUCCCAUUUUGAUAACAAGUAUCCUGAAGAUAAUCCGCAUAUCAAUCCACAUCCGCGCGUAUCCCAGUUGAUUUAUUAAUUUAUUCAUGAAGUGUUGCGAACGACAUUCCUGCAAAAGUAAAAGUCAGUGGAAUUUGUAUGAUAGCAUGAUGAAUAUUUAAAGUUUCAGUUAAAAUUUCACCAAGUAUUUUAUUUCUGGCUUAAGUCCCGGAUUGACGAAUUCUGCUGAUCACAUUUCUAAUCGACCAAUUCUGGUCGAAUAAAUUAAAUGGCACACUUCCUGAGUUGGUGGUAGGGGCGUUCUUCUUGUGUUUCUUUCUUUUCAUUAUUGACAUUGUUAUCCAGGCCCUUGCUUCUGGGCUUUUGUAAAGCACCCAUUUACGCCAUUGUCAUGAUCAUAGCUAGUCUUCCAUAUCCAAGAUACGCGCAUUAUAGUGGAUUUAUCUUUAUUAGUGAUUUCUGUGGAAAUGCAUAAUCUUAAUUAUAAGCUCCAAUAUUAUAAAAUAAACCUAACUUAUUAGAGUUAACAGGGCAUUUGUGUUGAUAAUUUGCGCAAUGUUAAUGGGGAUCGCUCCCAAGUCUUGGACGGACUCUUUCCAAGUCUUCUGAGGACCCAUCUGCACACUAAUUUGUCCGCCAACUAAAAAUUUAUAUAUAUUUUUCCAUAGAAUAUAAAUAGUUGGGGGUACUAACAGAACCUCUAGUAAAAUUAAUUAAUACCGUUAUGAUUUCGCAAACACAGCAGACAGCAGGCAUAAGGCUUAUAAAUAGAAGUGUCGUAUUUGGUUGAUGGUCAAGUUGAGUGGAAAUAUGGCACACUUUGUAAAGCCUUGUUAUCCUCUUCUCUUUGUUUUCUUUCUCUCAUUACUUCAAUCCAUUCUAACAACACAAGAGGGAGAAGCUCUUGUGAAAUGGAAGAAUAGCCUAGCCCCUUCUUCUUUUCUCGACUCUUGGUCACUCACCAAUCUCGAUAAUCUUUGCAACUGGACUGGCAUUACUUGUAACUCUGCAGGUUCAGUCUCUGAGAUUAACCUUAGUGAGAAACAACUUGAUGGAAUGCUGUCCGAGUUUGGUUUCACUUCAUUUCCAAAUCUCAACAAUCUCACCCUCGCAAUUAACUACUUCUCGGGUCCAAUACCACCAGCCAUUGAGAAUUUAACACAGCUUCAAUAUCUUGAGUUGAGCAAUAAUUAUCUAGAUGGUCCCAUUCCUUUCCAGGUUAGCAAUCUUCAGAGGUUGCUCAUCUUAAACCUGUCAGAGAAUGAACUGCAAGCUCCAAAUUGGUCCAAUUUUUCCCCCAUGCCUUUUUUGACCAUCCUCGACCUUUAUAAAAAUAAUCUUUUGUCAGAAUUUCCCGAAUUUAUAUCUAACUCGUGUAACCUUACGUACCUUGACCUCUCAUCCAACAAGUUUAGAGGGGAUCUUGCGCGAGAAUCAGUAUUAACCAAUCUAGGUGAUCUUGAAACCCUCUAUCUUAUUAGAAAUUCUUUCAAGGGGUCAUUUCCGUCAGAUUUAUUCAAGCUUUCUAAAUUAAAACGUCUUCACCUGUCGAGCAACAAAUUUUCAGGUUCAAUUCCUAAUGCCAUAAGGUUGCUUUGUGAUCUUGAAUUCCUAUAUUUAGGCAACAAUUCCUUUGAAGGACUGCUUCCACCAAAUAUAUUUAAGCUUUCAAAAUUAAAACAUCUUGUUCUUCGGAGUAAUAAGUUUUCAGGAUCUGUUUCCAAUGAUAUAAAUUUGCUUCCUGAACUUGAAUAUCUCGAUCUUAAUUCUAAUUUUUUUGACGGGCCGCUUCCUCCAGAUGUAUUCAAGCUCUCCAAACUAAGGUUUCUUUACCUCUCGGGUAAUACCUUUUCACGUUCUGUUUCCAAUGAUAUAGGUUUGCUUUCUGAGCUUGAAACCCUCGAUCUUAACUCUAAUUUUUUGAGGGUCCGCUUCCGUCAAAUAUAUUCAAGCUCAAAUUAAAAAUUCUAGACCUCUCAAACAAUAGAAAUUUAUUUCAAAGAAGUUUUCCUAUUGGACUGGAACUCUUGAGUAACCUCAGCUACUUAGGUCUAAGUUCCAGUAAUCUCAGUGGCAAUAUUCCAUCUUACAUUGGAAACCUGAAGCUACUAAUAUCUCUUGAUCUCAGUUCUAAUCAAUUGACUGGACCGCUUUCAAAGCUCGUUUCUAAUGUCACAAAUCUUAUAUUUCUUGAUUUAAGAGAUAAUAGUCUUAGUGGAAAUAUUCAGACUGACUUGUGGAAAUAUAACGAUCAUCCAACUCUGGAAUACAUCAAUUUGAGUGGGAACUAUUUUACGGGUAUAGUUUUUCUCUAUAGAUCUUUUCUUUUGUCAUAUGUAACUAAGCUAGUAAUCUGAUUAAUUGCAGUUUUACCAAAGUUUCAACAAUCUUGACAGGUGAGCUUCCAACAACAAUUUGCAAUGUCACUUCCCUUUCGGUUCUUGAUUUGUCAAAUAAUAACUUAAGUGGUGCACUUCCAAAAUGUUACGGGAAUCUUGCUGAUGGAUUGCUUUACAUUAAUCUUGCGAAUAAUCACUUUCGAGGAACAAUACCCACUACUUUCUCCAGGAGUUGUCAGCUGAUAUAUCUGAACAUGGAUGAUAAUGAGUUUGAAGGAUUGAUGCCCCCAUCUUUGGCGAACUGUAAGCACUUGAAAAUUUUUGAUAUUGGCAAUAAUAAAAUAGGUGGUACAUUUCCGUCAUGGCUUUAUGCACUUGGAGAGCUAGAAGUCCUUGUCUUGCGAUCAAAUAAACUCUAUGGUACAAUAAGUGGAAGGAGCAUAGAAGAUCCCUUCCCCAAGUUGCGGAUUGUGGAUCUGUCCAACAAUCAAUUCACAGGCCAUUUGCCAAUUCAAUACUUUAAGAAUAUGAAAUCAACUGAUAAUUUGUAUCGUUAUCAGAAUGACACAGGAGUUUUUUCUUUCCAUUAUGAAGCAUCUGUCUCAUUAACUGUGAAGGGAACAGAGUAUGAAGUGAAAAAUAUCCUUCAUAUUUACACAACCAUUGAUCUGUCCUGCAACAAGUUUCAAGGAGAAAUUCCUGACGUUAUUGGAGAGCUUAGAUGGCUUGCAUUGCUGAACUUAUCUCAUAAUAGUCUAACAGGACAUAUCCCAUCAUUGCUGAGAAAUAUGAAAGGACUCCAAUCUUUAGAUUUGUCUUCAAAUCAACUGAAAGGGGCUAUUCCACUUCAGUUAACUGCAUUGACAUUUCUAGAGGUCUUGAACCUCUCGGGAAACCAUCUUAGUGGAGAGAUUCCUCAGAAAGGGCAGUUCAGCACAUUUAACAUUGAUUCUUAUCUAGGAAACUCCGCGUUAUGUGGUUCACCUUUGAUGAAGAAAUGUGCAAACACAGCAUCACCUCCACAAGAAGCCGGAAAUGGUGAUGAAGAUGAAGCUGGUGAUGAAUUGACAUGGGAAGCAAUCGUGAUGGGAUAUGGAUGUGGACUGAUAUGUGGAUUGUCAUCUGCAUACAUUGUUCUCAAACUAGGAAAGCCUUGGUGGUUUGUGAGAUAUAUCGAAGUACUGCAACAGAAGUUGAUGAAAAGAUAUGCAUGAAGAAAGGUACUGGUAGAUCAAGAUGAACUUGAAAGUUGUUGUCGUGGUAGACAUUUGUGAACCAGUAGUGUACUAGCUGCAUAAGUAUUUGGUAUUAUGUAAUAAUCCGUUUGGUCGGGACUCAAAAUGAUUUCUCUUGCUUCAGGGGUAUUAAUAUUAACCUUGCUAUCUUGAUCAAUGUUAGGGCAAAUUAAAAAGAAUAUAAAAGCAAAAAAUUUGCAUCAAACACCUGUUGUACCAACAUGCAUCCAUUAAUUUGCUUUCAUCUAUUAAGUAACAAUUUAAGAGCGCUUCCACUCUGUUUAAGCAUGGAGAUAACACAAAGAAGGCAAGUCCAUGGACUAAUAUAUUAACACGUAGUCCACAUCUAUGGUAUGAACAAUUCAUAUUGCUCUUCUAUCUGUUCAACAGUCUCCCGAAGAUAGGCCAAAAAUGUCAUCUGUGGUUCUUAUGUUUGUCAGUGAAGGAGAAUCUCUGAUGCCUACACAACCUGGUGUUUUUACAGAAAGGAAUGUAGGUGAAACCAGGGGCGUAAAAUGAAUCAGGACUAAAAUCUGCUAAAAUGAUAAUUAUUUACUCAUCAUUCAAGAUUAGUCGGGCUCAAAGAUUUAUAUGGAUUUUAAGAACAAACUAUGACUAAAUAUGAAAAAAUCAUUAAUUUUUCCGACUCAAUAUUUUUUAGCCUCCCCCGGCCCUGGGUGAAACCAUAAGCUUCUCUGGUGCACAUCCAAAUCAUUCAGUUGGUUCUACUUUCAGCUCACCCACAGGAACAUCAUUCUGCAGGUACUCUUUUAUCUGUACUUUCUUAUAUUGUAUGCCAGUAAAUUUUAUAUCGACAAACUGCACAAUACACCUCGAUCUCAUAUUAUUGACAGGUGAGCUCCUCUCAUAAUGCUCACAGGCGAACCCCUGCAUAUAUACUUUGUGAUGUCAUUGAUGAUCGAUAGACUUGAAAAAAAAUUAUGACAAAGAUUCAUAAAAUAUCUACUUCCAUCCUAAUUCAGUAUUCAAUAUUAUUCAUUCGUAUCAUCAUCCAAUCAAUUCUAAUAGUUCUUCUUUAAAUCAGUACAAAUAUUGUUAAAUACCUGGAUGAUGGUUGUCUUUCCGCGAACCAAUCAUGAAAUUACCUCUGUAUAAAUCCAUCGGAAAUAAGACAGUUAAUAUCCCAAUCGAAUACACCCCGUCAGUUGUCAAACUCCUCGAAACGUAUUAAUCACUUUAGAAAAUUUGUUCCACUGGCGCUAGUCAGUCCCAGAGUUGGUGGUGGGUGCUUCUGGGCUUUCGAAAAGCACCCAUUUACUCCAUUGUUUAGAGAAGUAAAACCCCACCUUCCGCUCAUUUGAUUGAUCAGCUGAAUUAGGCAGAGUUUACAUGGUCAUGAUCAUAGUCUCCCAUNUUAAUAGUCUGACAGGACCUAUCCCAACAUUGCUGAGAAAUAUGAAAUAACUCCAUUACUCCAAUCUUAGAUUUGUCCUCAAAUCAACUGACAGGGGCUAUUCCACCUCUGUUAACUGCAUUGACAUUACUUUUCUCUUUAUAUUCUUUCCUUUUGUAUGUACCUAUGCUAAUUAUCUGAUUAUUAAAAUUAUAACAAAGCUUCAAGAUUUUUAACAGGUGAGCUUCCACUAAAAAUUUGCAAAGUCACUUCCCUUUCGCGUCUCAUUAUGUUAGAUAAUGGGUCAAGUGGUGCACUUCCACAGUGUUUGGGGAACCUUUCUUUGCUUGGUUUCAAUAAUCUUGCUAAUUAUCAAUUUCAAGGACCAAUACCAACGACUGUCCAAGACUUGUCUGUGCAUAUCUAAACAUCCAUAACAAUCACUUUGAAGGUUUGUUGCUCCAAUCUUUGGCAAACUGUAAACACUUACAAAUUCUUGAUAUUGGAAACAACGUUGGAGAGCUAGAUGUCCCAGUUAGGGCGGUAAUUCGACUAGAGCAAACCGAGUUUUGAGCGGAGCCAAAUUCGAGCCAAGUUUAAUCGAGUCGAGCCGAGUCGGCUCGUUUAGCUAAUCGAGCCUAAAACUUAGCCCGAACUCGACUCAUUUAAUUUCACGAGUCGAGUCGAGCCAACUCGUUUAGCUAAAUGAGCUGAUUUUAACAAGUCGAGCGAGCGAGCUCGUAUAAUUUUAACUUAGUCGAGCCUGAAUCUCUACCCAAACUAUUGGCUCGUGUAAUUUCGCGAGUCGAAUCGAGCCGGCUCGUUUUAUUAAACAAGCCGAAAUUUUUGCCCGAAUUUGCUCGUUUAACAAGCCGAUCUGAGCCUAGUUAAAUGAGUUCGAGUUAGUCGAGCUCGCGAGCUGCGAGCUCACCUGCCAGCUCUAGUCCUAGUCUUGCAAUCAAAUAGGUUUAACGGUAUAGAAAGUGGAAGGAGCACAAGGCAUCCAUUCCCCAAGGCUAUUUACCAAUUCAGUACUUUGAGGAUACAAAAUCAUUCUGCAGGUACUCUUGUAUCUGUACUUUCUUGUACUGUAUGCCACUUUGACAGUAGAGUAAAAUUUAUAUCGACAAACUGCAUAUGUUCUGAACUACUCCUCUAUCCCAAAUUAGAUGAGCUAGUUGACUUUGAGCACGUAACUUAAGGUACAUUGACCAACUAGUUCCGAUAUUUAUUUUUUUAAUUUUUCUUUUGUAAAUGAAAAUUUCAUAUUUAAAUUUUUAUUUGCAAAACUAAAAUUUAAAAAUAUGUAAUGUGGCUAUGCGGUCAAUGUCAACGAGCUCAUCUAAUUUGGGAUUGGGAUGCAGGGAGUAUUACGUACUAUGUUAUGCAAGCUGUUUACAACUUUCAUCAAAAUUUUCAAACAUUUCUGAAUAUGUAUUUUCAAAGAAUUCUCGGGCACUCUUAAGGCCUAUAAUUAUUGGAACUCUCACGUUAUGGACCAGAGGACCACUAUGUAUUUUACAAGCACGACGAAUCAUGUGGUCAUUAUGGACUCCCCAAGCCUUAGAGGACUCAUUCCAGGUUUUAGGAGGACCACUGCCUAGCUCACCCUUUCGGAGUGAUGUAAAUUAGUUUCCAGACACUAAAAAUAAGUAAUCAGAUUAAUCAUUACAAAAUUUUGAUAUAAAAUCAGAAUAAAUCCUAAACUUUGAUGAUACAAAAAAAAUUAUAAUUGUAAAUUAUACAAUCAAAUUAAGAUCGAAUUAACUUCCCUCACACUUAAAAUUUAUAGCGAUCAAAUCAAAAUCGAAUUAACUUUCCUAUUACUAAAAUUUAAUUACAAUAUUAUUAGAUAAAGAGAAUAUAUAAUAAUCAAGAGAAAAUAGAUUUUUUUUUGCCACUCAACUUAUUGUGUUUUAAGAAACUUACCACCCAACUAAAUUUUUUUCCUUUUGCUCACUAAUGUUAGGUUUGGAUUUGUUUUUAGCCACCAAAUAAGGUUCGGAUUUGAUUACCAGCAUUAUGAUAAUUUUUUUUGUCACUAAACUUAUUGCGUCUUUAGAAACUAACCACUGAACUAAAUUUUUUUUAUUUUACUCACUAAUGUUAGAUUUAGUUUUUUUUGUCACUAUAGUUAGGUUCAGAUUUGAUUAUUAGCAUUACAUUAAUUCUGUGUAGCAUUUUUAAAAUAUGGUAGUAGUCUGUGAUAUUUAGAUGAUUUGAUAUAUGUCUGUAUUUUUAUAUAUAGUAUAUUUUAUGUCCCCAAGGUCGUUUACCUUGGGUCAUAAAAAUUUUACACUCAUUUUAUGACUUUUAAAAGAUGUAGUUUCAUAAAUAAUUUUAUUUUUUUCUUUCGAAUUAAAAUUCAGCAUUUGAAUUUUACACACAAAAAAAUCGCAAGAAUAAGAUAUGAAACUAUGCUUUACAAGAGUCUUAAAAUACGUGCUAAACGGUAGAAAAAACUGUAAACUAAUGAGAGGUACAUAGGGAGUAAUAAUAACAUAAAAUGAUGCACAAUCAUCGAAUUAAGUUUUCCUCUCUCUAUAUAUUUAUUUUGUAAAUUUUAAUAAGAUAAAGUUAUUAAAAUUUAUGAUAUAAAUUUAAGAGAUAUCUUAGAUUGAGUGGCAAAAAUUUAGUUGGGUGGUAAGUUUCUAAAAACACAAUAAAUUGAGUGGGAACAAAAUCUAUUUUCCCAAUAAUGAGUGGGAAUAAAAUCUAUUUUCCCAAUAAUCAAAGUGACGAAAAAUCAAAGUCAUCUAAUAAGUCCAGAAAAAAUAUGACCAUUAGUAUAUUGAAAUAAUAUUCACGCAUUUAUAUACGAGAAUAUAUGGUCCACAAGUUAGUGCACAAUGUCCAAGAAUCUUUAUCAAAUAACACGGCAAGCAUGCAGCAUAUAAAUAAGAGUGGGCAGUAUGGUAUUGCAUUCAUAACCCACUUGAGCAGAAAUAUGGCACACUUCCUAAAGCCUUCUCACCUUCUUCUCUUUGUUUUCUUUCUCUCGUUACUUCAAUCCAUUCUACCAACAAGACCAGAGGGAGAAGCUCUUGUGAAAUGGAAGAAUAGCCUAGCCCCGUCUUCUUUUCUCGAUUCUUGGUCACUAACCAAUCUCGAUAAUCUUUGUAACUGGACUGGCAUUACUUGUAACUCUGCAGGUUCAGUCUCUGGGAUUAACCUUUAUGAGAAACAACUUGAUGGAAUGCUGUCCGAGUUUGGCUUCACUUCAUUUCCGAAUCUCAACAAUCUCACCCUCGCAUACAACUUCUUCUCGGGUCCAAUACCACCAGCCAUUGAGAAUUUAACACAGCUUCAAUAUCUUGAUUUAAGCAUCAAUAGUCUCGAUGGUCCCAUUCCUUUCCAGGUUAGCCAUCUUCAGAGGUUGCUCGUCCUAAACCUGUCACAGAAUGCAUUGCAAGCUCCAAAUUGGUCCCAUUUCUCUUCCAUGCCUUUUUUGCGCAUCCUCAAGCUCAGUAGGAAUCAUCUUGUAUCGAAAUUUCCAGAAUUUAUAUCCAAUUCUCAUAGCUUGGCUAUCCUUGACCUUGGCCAGAACAACUUUACAGGUGAUCUUGUGCGUGAAUUUACCAAUCUACAAAAUCUUGAAACCCUCUGGCUUUAUCGUAAUUCUUUUGAGGGGCCAUUUCCGCCGGAUAUAGUCCAGCUUUCCAAACUAAAAGAUCUUGCCCUGUCAAGUAACAAAUUUUCAGGUUCAGUUCCCAAUAACAUAAGGUUGCUUUGUGAUCUUGAAUACCUAUAUUUAGGCAACAAUUCCUUUAAGGGGCCACUUCCACCAAAUAUAUUUAAGCUUUCAAAAUUAAAACAUCUUGUUCUUUGGAGUAAUAAGUUUUCAGGUUCUGUUUCCAAUGAUAUAGGUUUGCUUCAUGAGCUUGUAACCCUCAAUCUUAACUCUAAUUUUUUUGAGGGGCCGCUUCCGCCAAAUGUAUUCAAGCUCUCCAAACUAAAGUUUUUUGCCCUUCAUGAGAAUAACUUUUCAGGUUUUAUUUCUAAGGAUAUAGGUUUGCUUUCCGAACUUGAAAUCCUCUAUUUUGGCUCUAAUUUUUUUGAGGGGCCGCUUCCUCCACAUGUAUUUAGGCUCUCCAAAUUAAGAGGUCUGGACCUCUCACACAAUAGAAAUUUAUUUGAAGGAAGUAUUCCUAUUGGACUGGGACUCUUGACUAACCUCAGGUACUUAGAUCUACAUUCCAAUAAUCUCGGUGGCUAUAUUCCAUCUGACAUUGGAAACCUGAAGCUACUAGUACUUCUUGAUCUCGGUUCUAAUCAAUUGACUGGACCGCUUUCAAAGAUCGUUUCUAAUCUCACAAAUCUUAUAUGUCUUGAUGUAAGUCAUAAUAGUCUUAGUGGAAAUAUUCAGAGUGACUUGUGGAAAUAUAACGAUCAUCCAACUUUGGAAUACAUCAAUUUAAGUGGGAACCAUUUUACGGGUAUAGUUUUUCUCUAUAGAUCUUUUCCUUUUCUCAUAUGUAACUAAGCUAGUAAUCUGAUUAUUGCAGUUUCACCAAAGUUUCAACAAUCUUGACAGGUGAGCUUCCAACAACAAUUUGCAAUGUCACUUCCCUUUCGGUUCUUGAUUUGUCAAAUAAUGAAUUAAGUGGUGCACUUCCAAACUCUUUGGGGAAUCUUGCUGAUGGAAUGCUUUACCUUAAUCUUGCUAAUAAUCAGUUUCGAGGAACAAUACCAACUACUUUCUCCAGGAGUUGUCGGUUGACAUAUCUAAACAUGGAUAAUAAUGAGUUUGAAGGAUUGUUGCCCCCAUCUUUGGCGAACUGUAAGCACUUGAAAAUUCUUGAUAUAGGCAAUAAUAAAAUAGGUGGUACAUUUCCGUCAUGGCUUUAUGCACUUGGAGAGCUAGAAGUUCUUGUCUUGCGAUCAAAUAAACUCUAUGGUACAAUAAGUGGAAGGAGCAUAGAAGAUCCCUUCCCCAAGUUGCGGAUUGUGGAUCUGUCCCACAAUCAAUUGACAGGCUAUUUGCCAAUUCAAUACUUUAAGAAUAUGAAAUCAACUGAUAAUUUGUAUCGUUAUCAGAAUGACACAGGAGUUUUUUCUUUCCAUUAUGAAGCAUCUGUCUCAUUAACUGUGAAGGGAACAGAGUAUGAAGUGAAAAAUAUCCUUCAUAUUUACACAACCAUUGAUCUGUCCUGCAACAAGUUUCAAGGAGAAAUUCCUGACGUUAUUGGAGAGCUUAGAUGGCUUGCAUUGCUGAACUUAUCUCAUAAUAGUCUAACAGGACAUAUCCCAUCAUUGCUGAGAAAUAUGAAAGGACUCCAAUCUUUAGAUUUGUCUUCAAAUCAACUGAAAGGGGCUAUUCCACUUCAGUUAACUGCAUUGACAUUUCUAGAGGUCUUGAACCUCUCGGGAAACCAUCUUAGUGGAGAGAUUCCUCAGAAAGGGCAGUUCAGCACAUUUAACAUUGAUUCUUAUCUAGGAAACUCCGCGUUAUGUGGUUCACCUUUGAUGAAGAAAUGUGCAAACACAGCAUCACCUCCACAAGAAGCCGGAAAUGGUGAUGAAGAUGAAGCUGGUGAUGAAUUGACAUGGGAAGCAAUCGUGAUGGG